Molecule: long non-coding RNA, 54723 nt
Filed under: Malus domestica (apple)
Lineage: Eukaryota; Viridiplantae; Streptophyta; Magnoliopsida; Rosales; Rosaceae
Description: long non-coding RNA (MDOM_LNC011785)
Source: RNAcentral
CCGGAGGAUCCUUUUCCCCUGUUAAAAACCAAAUGAUAAUAGCUUAUGCUUAGUCACCCUAUAAAAUCCAAAUCAUACUGCUUUUAUCACAAUUUACACAAAUUAUUGUUAAAAAAAAGGUAAAGAAUAAACAAUACAAAAACUAAAGGACUCUUGAAUGUACCAUUUAAACUUAUGGAGUGAGUUGUGAGCUAGUUACUACUAUUCUCAUUCCCCUCCCUUUUUCCAUGCCUCUGCCCUGUCCCACGGAAAAUGAUCAUCGCCGGAACCUUUUCCUAAGGAUCCUAGAGAUCCAGCAAUCGUGUCCGUUCAACAUACAUCGUGCGGUCAUAAAUCGUUUUAAAUUUUAAAUUUUAAAUUCAAAUAUAAACAGUACCUAACAAAAACUGACCGCACGAUGUACAAUGAACGAACAAGAUUGUAGGAUCCCUAGGAAAAGGAUCCGGCGAGGAUCCUUUUCCCCUCCCACCUACAUUAUCAACAAAUAUAAUGAACUUCACUUUCAUUAUAAAAAACUACAAUUUAAAAACAAAAAUACAACAUAAAACAUAUUAUACUUCUAGUGUAGAUGUGUUAAUAAUCAAAUGAUUUGGCUCUUGAGUGGCUUGAGUUGCUAUUUUUAAAAUGACCUCAAUGCUCAUGGUCAAUCUUUGUGUUAACAAUGUGUUGUGAGGAAGAUCUCCUCAAGUAACAUAUGAAAUCAAUGGAACCGUGACAUCAUUUCUCAAAAGAGUGUCUCGUCCACAAAGUAAAAAGGAAAACGACUUCGCAAGAUGUUAAGAGAGAUGUAAGAAUGAUGCGGAGUGGUGUUUUUGUUUCCUCCAAGCUCGUCGAGCAAUUGUUAGGAAAGGCCGUAAGAAUGUUUGAUAUAGUGGCGCUCGAUCCAUCAUGAUGACAUGCAUCAUCCUUCACAACAUGAUUGUGGAAUAUAAUUGACUAUUUAUUUCAUAGAUGUUUACGUAGAAUUAUAGGAAAACGCCAACAAUUACUGUCUUAUAUGUUAAAGAAAAAUAGAAUAUGUUAUAAAUUAUGAAAAACUCGUUAAUUUUAUGAAUGCAUUAUGAAUUAUUUGAUUUAUUAGAUCUUGAAUUUUAAUGAACGUUUUUUUCAUUUUCAACAAUUCAUGCCUCUGCCCCUUCCCACCUACAUUAUCAAUCAAUUUAAUGAACUUCACUUUCAUUAUCAAAAACUACAAUUUAAAAACAAAAAUACAAUGUAAAACAGAUUAUUCCUCUAGUGUAGAUGUGUUAACAACCGAAUGAUUUGGCUCUUGAGUGGCUUGAGUUGCUAUUUUUAAAAUGACCUCAAUGCCCAUGGUCAAUCUAUGUGUUCAACAAUGUGCUGUGAGGAAGAUCUCCUCAAGUCACAUAUGAAAUCAAUGGAACUGUGACAUCAUUUCUCAAAAUAGUGACACGUUUAUAAAGUAAAAAGGAAAAUGACUUCGCAAGAUGUUAAGAAGGAUGUGGAGUGGUGUUUUUGUUUCCUCCAAGUUCGUUGAGUAAUUGUUAGGAAGGGCUAUAAGAAUGUUUGAUGCAGUGGCGCUCGAUCCAUCACGAUAACAUGCAUCAUCAUUCACAACAUGAUUAUGGAAGAUAAUUGACUAUUUAUUUCAUAGAGGUUUACAAAGAAUUAUGGGAAAACGCCAACGAUUAUUGUCUUAUUUGUUAAAGAAAAAUAUAAUAUGUUAUAAAUUAUGAAAAACUCGUUAAUUUUAUGAAUGCAUUAUGAAUUAUUUGAUUUAUUAGAUCUUGAAUUUUAACGAACAUUUUUCGUUUUCAACAAUUCAUGAAAGAACGAAUUGAGAAAAAAAAAACCUGUGAAUAUAUUGGCAACAAGAAAAUACCUUAUGAUAAUCAAUAUAGGCCCCCACCAUCAAUUAAUGAUGGUGUUCUUCAACUAAUUAUUACACUAGAUGAUGAAAAUGUUAUUAAAUGCAAACCAAUAUUGUAUUAUUUACACCUAAUAAUUGAAAAAAGAAUUGCAAAAAAUCAAAUAAUUGUGCAAUAUUUAUCUUAUGUAACACGGUCAUUAGUGUGUUUGCAGUCGUGUGACUUGACUCAUGAGUGUCAUCAGUUGGUAUUGACUGACUUGUAAAGCCUCAAUUUCCACAAGUUCUUUUUGUGUGGCCUUCAAGUCUACAUUGAUAACAUGUGAAAGGAAAGGUCUUUGCGAAUGACAAAGAUUGUCGAUAUUGACUGACUUGUAAAGCCUCAAUUUCCACAAGUUCUUUUUGUGUGGCCUUCAAGUCUACAUUGAUAACAUGCGAAAGGAAAGGUCUUUGUGAAUGACAAGGAUUGUCUACCCUCCAAUUUCUAGUGCCCUCUCGUGCCCUCCUGUUUUGUGUGAUUAUGGUUAAGUCACGUCAAUAUUUUAUAUAUAUUUUUUUAUAGAGAUAAUAAGACAAAAUUGAAUAGUACUAUAAAAUGUUGACGUAGUUUAACCGUGACCACACAAACAGAAAAGCAUGGGAGGACAUCGAAAGUGAAAGGGCAGACAAUCCUUGUCCCUUUGCGAAACCCAUUUCCUAGCCACUUUCCAGUUCCCAAUCCUUGUCCCUUUGCGAAACCCAUUUCCUAGCCACUUUCCAGUUCCCAAUCCUUGUCCCUUUGCGAAACCCAUUUCCUAGCCACUUUCCAGUUCCCACCAUGAGUUGUGAUGCUCUUCCUCAGGCUCAUUUUCCGUAUUCUUUCUUUUACAGCUGUCAUGCGAAAUGAUAACAACAUGUACGGCUGUCCACUUACCUAUGGGGAUCACUUGGUAUGUUCUCGCCGCCAACUAUAGAGGAACCUGAAUUGUCUGCCCUCUUCUUCUGUCCAAUCAUUUUCCUAUUCUUUUCUAUUUAUGUGGUCACGGUUAAGUCAUGUUAAGACAAAAAAUAAUAAGAAUACAACAUAUUAACGUAAUUUAAUCGUGACCACAAAAAUAAGAAAGAAUGAGAAUAAUAUGGAAUGAAGAGGACAGACAAUCUAGGUCCACUAUGGAGAUCUUUCACACCAUGUUUUAGGUGUCAGCUAACUAUGGCGGUCAUUCACACCCUAAUUUCCAGGUUAGCCAGCUAUGGAGGACCUUCACUCCAUGUUCCAAGUGUCAGCCAUCUAUGGAGGCGCUCCACCCCAUGCUUCAAGCGUCAGCAAACUAUGGGACAAGGCCCUUCACUCCAUAAUUUCAGGUUUUAAGAGUUACGUGUCAACCAUUUGUAGUGUUUGCACUGGCAGAGCCUAUCGUGAAAAAGAUAUAAUCUUAUAUAAUCCGAGAUAGCUUUUGGUGAAAAAGAAAAUUUUACACAUAAUUUUCAUUAAUUUUUUAAUGUAAUCUACCAUAUACGUAGACACUAAGCCUAAUUAUCUUAGUUUAAUUGUAUAAGAUUAUACCUUACAAUUCAUAAGCCAUCUUUUUGUCUUUCUCGGCAUAUUUGACACACCCUGAUCCGAAAUGUUCACUUGAACUUCGAAUUGAGUUGUGUUGGACGACACAUGGAGGGUAACGAAGCCUUAAAGUGUAGUGUAGUGGAAAAAGAAUGUGAAUAAAUUUAAACCUAAAAGUGCCUAGUCAAAAGAAUGUGCGAGUGAGUGGGAUUGAACCCAUUUCACACGUGAUGUCAGAGCAUAAGACAAUAUAGUAAAUAGGAUGAGGGUUAAAGCACUGAAGAUAACCAUCUUCUGAGAUUUAUCAGAAUCCUCGUUUACACAUAAGCACAACUACUAAACCUGGAAGGGCGAAAAACAAAGUUGAGUGGGUCAGCAAAACAACGUUUGUAAGAAAACCUUUAUUUUUGAACAUAGUAACCCAUCGCUGGAAAACAAGUAUAGUUUUCGUAAAACAUACUACGUAAGUAUGUAAACAAAAGUACAACAACAAUAUAACCAGAAAUAUGCCAAAUCAUGAUAUAUCAAAUGCCGCAGUAAUAUAAUCAUGUGAUAAAUAAAUAUAACUAAGUGCUCAUCCAUCUAAGUUGACACACAAGUUCGUAUAGAUAAUCUCUGACACGAACAGGACUGGGUGUAAUCAAUACAUUCUAGUAUUACGAUCACGUGAAGGCUAGUGCCAAAGCACGGUCACAUACGAGUCGAAAUUGCCUAAUGCAAUUUGUGCGAUAAGACUAACACCUAACUUGGAUCCAAGGCGAGCGAACGGUGCAGAUGUGAACAUACACGUGAAGGUUGGCCCUGGCCCUAGGUUGGGUACUAACGUCGGGGUGCAGCAAGAUGAGCAUGUACAAAUAUGUAUAAAUGUCACGAUAGUAAUAUCUCAACCAUAUAGCAGCAUUUAUCACAUUUAAUAUCACAAUAACGAUACUUGGCAAUAUAAGCAUAAUAAUGGAGUAAAUACGCAUUUAUGGAAACUAUAACUAUGUAUAGGUAUAAAAACAAACUGCCCACUCAUAAAUACACAGUAAAUAUGAAGCAUCUGAUCCUUGCUUGACCCCAUGUGCCAUCGGGAUACGUUUCCCCUAUAUGUGAAAUUACUAAUUAACUUAGUUUAAUAACACAUAUACGGAAACUUAAAUAAAACCUCCGUAGAUUACCCAAACAUAAGGUUUGAAUAUACAAAAUCGAUCUACUCGACGUUACAGACCUACACAAAUUGACCGCACGGUAACCUAAGGCCGGACACACCCCCACGUGCCGCCUAGCCCACGGCCACACGUGUGCCCACACGCAGGCCAGUGGCUAACAGAUCCGAGGAAUAUUCUAUCAUUUCUAACAGAAUAUUCCGUUAAACAAUUAACAAAAGUGAAUGACGUUACCUGACGCCGUUAGAAUAUUCCAUCAAAGUUGACGGAAUAUUCCUUGUUUUCUUCGGCGAGUUUCGCCGGUCGUCACCGUCUGGUUUCAUCGAAAUCUGGAAAUUUUAGCUGGUUUCUAGGUAAAAUUUCAAACCUUCAAAUCUUCUUCAUUUUUCAACUAUUUUUCAUAAAAUUAUAUAGAAAUGAAGCUUAUGAAGAAUAGAAUCACGUUAUACCUUUCAAACCUUUCAAAGGUCCAAAAAGUGAACAGAUGUGGCUUGAAAAUGGCUCGAAAGGUACUGCCAAACUGGAACUUCUCGAAACCUCAUGUUUUGUACAUCAACUCUUCACCAAAACUAAUCUAGGAUCUUUAAGAAGUUGAGUAGUAGCUUUCUCGAGUCCUAAAAUGCCGUGACUCGAUCUGAAAAUCGUCGAUCCAGAACUCACCGAGUCAGAGCUUCCGAGUUGGUGAGUCAAACCUCAACCAAAUCUAGAUAUGGUUACACAGUUGUGUUCGUGGGGUUGGGGUUGAGGGGAGUUCAACGAUGUAGGUUACAAGUCACGUUUAGGUGGUUUGGACGUCGGUUGAGAGAGUUGCAGAGAAAAGGUAAGAGAUAGACCUUCGGGAAGAGAGAGAGUAGAGAGAGUAAGGUUUGAGUUGUGAUUGAUGGGACAUAAAUGAGAGCAUUUCUGAUUGGUUGAGUGAGAGAGGGAAAACAAUUGAUUGGGUGGUGAUGAGGGAUUCAAGGAAAAAGCAAAAGUUUGAUUGGUGGAUGAGAUGGGGAACCCGGAUCCCUUUUUUUAGGAAUGGGAUUGGAUUGAUGGAUUUUCAGAUUUUGUACCAUUUCAAAUGUACAAAAUUUGUAUCCUUAACAGUGUUUCUAACACUGAUAUUUUGUACGAACGUGUACAAAAUACCUGUAAUUAACGUACUUUAACGGAACAUAACUUUUUCGUUACAAAUCCGAUUCAAGCCUAACAUGCGUUCACGCGUUCGUAGCGACAAGUACUAAUUUAGUACGAAACCAGGAAAAUGAAACUGAAAACCGAAAACCACAUCCACGUCAUAUUCCAGUUUUUUCCAAAAAGGGUAAAACCGUCAACUCACACCAACGGAAAAGGAAUUACAAUGAAAAGUAGGGACGGGUCGUCACAAAAUUUGUUUCAACUCGUUUAAAUUUUAAUACGUAUUUUUGUUGGUAAACAAAUGGGGCUAAACGUCAAAUAAAGAAAAACUAAAGCAAAGCAUCACAAGGUUUAGAGAUUUCAGCAACAUUAGACAAUAAGAGAUGUCGACAAGAGGCAGGAGCUUAAGUGAAAUACAUUGGACCAAAAGACUACGGCAAACUCAAGUUAGCCAACUCCUCAACCACAAAAUGCAUCUCAUCAUAAACGUGACCAACUUCACAAUUCCAUCUUUGUUUAACAGCUCAAGGCAAGCUUGCACCAACUCACCAAGAGGAUGGUUCUCACUCACACCUUGAAGAACUAAAUGGGCAAUGAGAACAAAAUCAAAUUCCUAUUUUACACGUAUUUGUUUAACAAUGAAAAAUUUUGGCUCACCGUGUGAAAAUUUUAUUAGGCUAGCUGAUAGUGUAAAAAAAUAUUGUAUGUUUCUGCAUUUAUAAAAAUUUAUAUCUUUAAGCUAGCCUACUUGGUGAAGUCUCCGCCCUUAUUCACCGUCAGGUGAUCUUUUUUGUCUAAUAAUGCAUUGUUAUGUGCAAAAUGCAUUGCCAUGUGCAAAGUAUUCUCCACAUGAUAAUGUAUUAUUAAAUCUAAACGUCACAUUAUAAUAAAUCAGUUAUAUGUAAGUUGCUUUCGAAAAUUAUACUAAUGAAGAGAUGAUCGUGCCGCAUACGCUUAGGCAUGUGGCUCUAUUAUUUGCCUAGUACUAGUCAUCAAAUUCCAGUCUAUUAGAAACCGACUUAUUUAUUUGAAAAAAAAAAAACGAAGAAGAAGGGGUUGACUGAUUUUAUUUUUUAUUUAUUUUUUGUUGACAUGCAUACUUUAUGGGGUCAUUUUGAUGGGAAAGGAUGGGAUAGUGAUGGUAGCACCUCUUCCGGGUCAAUGGUAGAGUCCACUUUACUUGGACUUCUUGAAUCGUUCAACAGGAAACGCUUUUUGGGUCAAUGCAUGGGAACGAUCCAUUUUAAAAUUGUUUGUAAAUUUCUAUAAGUAGAUAGUAAUGACCCAAUUAAAUAUUUCCCCUGCACAGAUUUACUUGCAUUGCACCUAGCAAAGAUCAGUUUUUUUGUUUGUCCAUCGAUCCAUAUCAAACAAAUCAAUCAUCAGAACCAUCAUAAAAUAUUUUGUUUUUAGAUUGUUGAAGUAAUAUUAAAAAAUAUAAAAAAAACAUAAGAAUUUUAAUAAUAAUAAUCAUAAAGAAAUUCACAACAUCAAUUAUGUAUGAGAUUAUUAUAAACAACUAAAGAGAAAGUUAGAAAAACUGACAAACUUGAAGAUUGAGGUUUCCAUAAAUACAAUGUCCUAAAGAUAGAAUUUUGCCCCUACUCUUGAUCCGAAGUUGAAGCACUUCAAUAUUUGGAUUCUGGCGAAUUUUAUAUUUUCUAUACUCUCAAGACACGACUCGAAAUUUGACAAACGAAAAAUGAGAGAAAUAAAGUGAGGAAACCCUAUUUCUCAAGAGUAAAAAUUAACUCUAAUUUUAUAUCUUUAAUGAUAAUGGUUUCAUGGGUUUAUACAGAACCCAUUGUAUUGUUUGGCGUAAAAAUGCAACUUUGCAUCUAUACAACCUACACCACUCAUCAAACUACACGUCCCAAAUUACAAAUAAUAUGAUGCAACAAUUAAGAAUAAACAAGAUUAAUUUUUUCAUUCAAUAUUUUGAAAUUAAGUAUUAUAAUAUAAAUUUUCAACAUUGACUUGACUGUUCGUCUAUCAGUAACAAGUCCACAUCUCAACCCAAAUACAAUGAUGUCAAAUGAGAAGGGAAAAUGAGAAGGAAACUCUGGAGGGUAGAGGGAAGGAAAAGGAGAGAGAAAAGGAGGAAAAGAGAAAAGGAGGAGGAAAAAGUAGAAAUAAAGAAAAACUAAAGCAAAGCAUCACAAGGUUUAGAGAUUUCAGCAAUAUUUGACAAUAAGAGAUGUCGACAAAAGGUAGAAGCUUGAGUGAAAUACAUUGGACUAAAAAAAUACGACAAACUCAAGUUCGCCAAUUCCUUAGCCAUAAAAUGCAUCUCAUCAUAAACGUGAUCAAGUUUACAAUUCCAUCUUUGUUUAACAGUUCAAGGCAAGCCUGCACCAACUCACCGAGAGGAUGGUUCUCACUCACACCUUGAAGAACUAUAUGGACAAUGAUCAAAGAACUAAAUGGACAAUGAGAACAAAAUCAAAUUCCAAUUUUACAAGUAUUUGUUUAAUAAUGAAAAUUUUUGGCUCACCAUGUGAAAAUUUUAUUAGGCUAGCUGAUAGUGUAAAAAAAUAUUGUAUGUUUAUGCAUUUAUAAAAAUUUAUAUCUUUAAGCUAGCCUACUCGGUGAAGUCUCCGCCCUUAUUCACCGUCACGCGAUCUUUUUGUCUAAUAAUGCAUUGCCAUGUGCAAAGUAUUUUCCACAUGACAAUGUAUUAUUAAAUUUAAAUGUCACGUUAUAGUAAAUCAGUUAUAUAUAAGUUGUUUUCGAGAAUUAUACUAGUGAAGAGCUGACCGUGCCGCAUACGCUUAGGCAUGUGGCUCUAUUAUUUGCCUUGUACUAGUCAUCAAAUUCCAGUCUAUUAGAAAUCGACUUAUUUAUUUGAAAAAAAAAAUUGAAAAAAAAAAUGAAGAAGAAGGGGUUGACUGAUUUUAUUUUUUAUUUAUUUUUUGUUGACAUGCAUACUUUAUGGGGUCAUUUUGAUGGGAACCUAGGAUGCGAGAGUGAUGGUAGCACCUUUUCCAGGUCAAUGGUAGAGUCCACUUCACUUGGACGUCUUGAAUCAUCCAUCAAUAACAAGUCCACAUCUCAACCCAAAGAGGAAUACGAUUGUCUGCCUUCCCAAUUUUCAUGUCCUCCUGUUUUGUGUAGUCACAGUUAAGUUACGUUAACAUUUUAUAUUAUUUUUUAUAAAGAUAAUAAGACAAAAAUGAAUAGUAAUAUAAAAUGUUGACGUGGUUUAACCGUGACCACACAAACAGGAGAGCAUGGAAGGGCAUGGAAAAAGGGAGGGCAGACAAUCCUUGUCCAAUAUAAUGAUGUCAAAGGAGAGGGGAAAAUGAGAAGGAAACUCUGGAGGGUAGAGGGAAGGAAAAAGGGAUAAGGAUUGUCUGCCUUCCCAUUUUCCAUGCCCUUCCAUGCCCUCCUGUUUUGUAUAGUCACGGUUAAGCCACGUUAACAUUUUAUAUUAUUUUUUUAUAAAGAUAAUUAUACAAAAAUGAAUAGUAAUAUAAAAUGUUGACGUGACUUAACCGUGACCACACAAACAGGAGGGCAUGGAAAAAGGGAGGGCGGACAAUCCUUGUCUAGGAAAAGGAGGGAGAAAAGGAGAAAAAUAGAAGGGAAAGGUAGAAAUAAAGAAAAACUAAAGCAAAGCAUUACAAGGUUUAGAGAUUUCAGCAACAUCUGACAAUAAGAGAUGUCGACAAGAGGUAGGAGCUUGAGUGAAAUACAUUGGACCAAAAGAAUAUGACAAACUCAAGUUAGCCAAUUCCUCAGCCACAAGAUGCAUCUCAUCAUAAACGUGACCAAGUUCACAAUUCCAUCUUUGUUUAACAGCUCAAGGUAAGCCUGCACCAACUCACCAAGAGGAUGGUUCUCACUCACACCUUGAAGAACUAUAUGGACAAUGAUCGAAGAACUAAAUGGACAGUGAGAACAAAAUCAAAUUCCAAUUUUACACGUAUUUGUUUAAUAAUGAAAAAUUUUGGCUCACCAUGUGAAAAUUUUAUUAGGCUAGCUGAUAGUGUAAAAAAAUAUUGUAUGUUUAUGCAUUUAUAAAAAUUUAUAUCUUUAAGCUAGCCUACUCGGUGAAGUCUCUGCCCUUAUUCACUGACACGUGACAUUUUUUGUCUAAUAAUGCAUUGCCAUGUGCAAAGUAUUCUCUACAUGACAAUGUAUUAUUAAAUCAAAACGUCACGUUAUAGUAAAUCAAUUAUAUGUAAGUUGUUCUCAAAAAUUAUACUAGUGAUGAGCUGAUCGUGCCGCAUACGCUUAGGCAUGUGGCUCUAUUAUUUGCCUUGUACUAGUCAUCAAAUUCCAGUCUAUUAGAAAUCGACUUAUUUAUUUGAAAAAAAAAAACGAAGAAGAAGGGGUUGACUGAUUUUAUUUUUUAUUUAUUUUUUAUUGACAUGCGUACUUUAUGGGGUCAUUUUGAUGGGAACCUAGGAUGCCAUAGUGAUGGUAGCACCUUUUCCGGUCAAUGGUAGAGUCCACUUCACUUGGACGUCUUGAAUCGUUCAACAGGAAACGCUUUUUGGGUCAAUGCAUGGGAACGGAAGAGGAUCCUCUCUUGAGCUCGAGAUGGGGAUGUUCUUGAUCACGUAAUCUGGGCCGUUCAAAUUUAAUUCAACGGUUGCAAUUAUUAUAACUUUUAGAGAACCUUCUGUUUGGAGUCGUUUGAUUAAAUUUGAAUAGUCUGAAUUUCGUGAUCAGAGGAUCCCCAUCCUGAGCUUAGGAGAGGAUCCUCUUCCCAUGGGAACUACCCAUUUUAAAAUUGUUUGCAAAUUUUCCUAUAAGUAGAUAGUAAUGACCUAAUUAAAUAGGAUCAGGAUCCUCUCCUGAGCAAAUAGAGAAGAUCCUUCUAACCGAACCCAUCGGGCUGUUCAAACUUUUUCCAACGGCUACAAUUAUUAUAACUUUUAAAGGCCCCCCAUGUUUGUAGCUGUUGGAUAAAAUUUGAACAGCUUUAUGGGCCAUGUCAGGAGGAUCCUCUCCAUUUGCUGAGGAGAGGAUCCUGAUCCAAUUAAAUAUUUCCCAUGUACAGAGAUACUUGCAUUGCACCUAGCAAAGAUCAGUUUUUUUGUUUGUCCAUCGAUCCACAUCAAACAGAUCAAUCAUCAGAACCAUCCAUCCACAUCAAUGGCUCUUAUGAUAAAAUAUUCUAUCUUUAGAUUGUUGAAGCAAUAUUAAAAAAUAUAAAAAUAACACAAGAAUUUCAAUAAUAAUAAUAAUCAUAAAAAAAAAUUCACAACAUCAAUUAUGUAUGAGAUUAUUAUAAACAACUAAAGAGAAAGUUAGAAAAACUGAUAAACUUGAAGAUCGAGGCUUGUAUAAAUACAUUGUCCUAAAGACAAAAUUUUGCCCCUACUCUUAAUCCGAAGUUGAAGCACUUCAAUAUUCAGAUUCUGACGAAUUUUAUAUUUUCUGUACUCUCAAGACACGACUCGAAAUUUGACAAACGAAAAUUGAGAGAAAUAAAGUGAGGAAACCCUAUUUCUCAAGAGUAAAAAUUAACUCUAAUUUGUAUCUUUAAUGAUAAUGGUUUCAUGGGUUUAUAUAGAACCCAUUGUGUUGUUUGGCGUAAAAAUGCAACUUUGCAUCUAUGUAACCUACACCACUCAUCAAACUACACGUCCCAAAUUACAAAUAAUAUGAUGCAAUUCUUUGUAUCAGAUGCAACACUUAAGAAUAAACAAGAUUAAUUUUUUCAUUCAAUAUUUUGAAAUUAAAUAUUAUAAUAUUUAAUAAAUAUUAUAUUAUAAAUUUUCAACAUUGACUUGACUGUUCGUCCAUCAAUAACAAGUCCACAUCUCAACCCAAAUAUAAUGAUGUCAAAGGAGAGGGGAAAAUGAGAAGGAAACUCUGGAGGGUAGAGGGAAGGAAAAGGAGGGAGAAAAGGAUAAAAGGAAGGAGAGAAAAGUAGAAAAGGAAGGAAGAAAAUGAGAGGAAAUGCAUAGAAAUAAAAAAAAUAAAAAAUGAAAAUCACCUUCAUCAUUAUGUCUACUAAUGGAAAAGAGCAAAAUGCUCCCAACUACUCUUGUUUCUUACAUUGUAAAUUAUAUUUCGUAUAAUGAGAAACUAGUAUUCUUACACAAGGAUGUAGACACAACUUGCCGAAUCUUGUUACUAUACAGCAAGCCUAUAACUGCAUAAUAAUUCGAUCAACCACCUUAAGUUUAACCAUACAUGUACCAAGAUUCAAGUUUUUCCAAACUUUCCUUAUGAAACUAAUUGAACAGUACAAGUGCCACAUUAUUAUGCGGUUCUAUCAAGUUUUAAUUUUUAUCUUAUAACCACAUUAUCUUUAGGACAAUCAAUCUUGCAGUUGAAUAUAUAAACCUUCGAGAUGGCGAUAUUGGAAACGCUAGUUGGUGGGUUGAUUGGUAGAAAUGGUUCCAACAAUUCAAGAAUAAGAAAUGAGUAUUGAGCAACGAUCAAAGUAUGUUGUAUUUUAUCACAAAAUAUUUUUGUACAUAUUAGAAGUGCAUUUUAUCACAAAAAGGUGAGCAACGAUCAAUAUAAUUGUAAUUUAUAAAAUCACACAUAAAACGGGAAGUAAUAUUUUAUUUUUGUUUUCAUCUCUGCCAAAGAAACGCUUUUUGGGUCAAUGGAUGGGGACGACCCAUUUUAUAAUUGUUUAUAAAUGGGAAUGACCCAAUUACAUAUUUCCCCUGCUCACAGACAUUUGCAUUGCACCUAGCAAACACCAGUUUUUUUGUUUGAACAUCGAUCCACUUCAAUGGCUCUUGUGAGAACAUCUCCAGGAACCUCCUCUGAUUCCAACACAUUUCGGCGUUAUCACUACGAUGUGUUCUUGAGCUUCAGAGGCGAAGAAACUCGUAAGACUUUUACGGACCACCUCUACACAGCCUUGAACAAUGCAGGAUUUCUCACGUUUCGAGACGACGAUGAACUCGAGAGAGGAGAAGACAUAAAGCCAGGACUGCAGAAAGCAAUCCAGCUGUCACGAACUUCUGUUGUCGUGUUUUCGAAAGAUUACGCGUCAUCCAGGUGGUGUCUUGAUGAGCUUAUGCUGAUCCUCGAACGAAAUAGGACCACCUCGGACUAUGUAGUUUUACCAGUCUUCUACGAUGUUGAUCCGUCCCACGUGAGGAAGCAGACAGGAAAUGUUGGAAAAGCAUUUGCUAGAAGCCAGAAAAAUCAGUCGCCGGAAAAGGUGGAAGGAUGGAGGAAGGCACUUGCAGAGAUUGCAGACCUAGCAGGCAUGGUCCUACAAAAUCAAGCUAACGGGUAACUUUCAUUUUCUUAUUUUGUCUUCUAUUUGUUGUUGUUGACCUCUCUAAUAAGAUCACAACUAGAGAUGGACAAAAUACCCACGGUUACCCGUGUUGUGCUUUGGCCCGUUCGUCAGUGCAGAAGUGAGAUUCAGAUUAUCUCACUAAACUACAGACCCACAGUUGAACAAUUUAAAUUACAAGAAAUAAAGACACUGAGAAAUUUACGAGAUUCGGCAAAAACCUGCCUAUGUCCUCGGAGAUAUAUUGCUCUUCACUAUGAGAAUAACUAGUACAAGAUACACUUGAGUUCAAUCAACAUAACCCAAACCCCAAUCCCUUGUACACUCACAGAAUUUUCCCAAGAGCCUCACUCUACCCCAAGAGUUUCUCACUCUCACUCUUUAUUUUCUCUCCUUUGUGUUCUCCUUCGGAUGCUCUCUCAAUGCAUUACUAAAUGCACAAAUAUUGCAUCUAGUUAUAGUCAUACACUAGCAACUAUGCCAACAAACAAGACCAAAAAGUCUUAAGUUCACAUGACAUAAUUAUCACCUAGCCUACCUAGCAUACACCAAAGUCUAUAUCUAGUCUAUAAAGUACAACUAUUCUCCAUUUGUCAUUUAAUGCAUAUAAAAUAAAACAUGCACAAUUGUGUGCAAGCAACCACAAAGUCAAGUCUUGCUUCCAACUUUGCUUUUGGUAGUCACCAUGUCUUCUCUUGAAACAAGACAUCCAUGCCACAACCGAAAGCCAAACACAAAGUGGCUACUGCCAUUUCCCUGUAGCACUCAGAAAGUUACACUAUCAAAAUUGUUGCCAACUCAUAAGUAUAUGAGCCAAACACAACAACCCGCCCAUUUAAACUUCACGGUUACUGUUAUGGGUAACCGUUUAGAUAAAUAAACGGUUAUGGAUAUAACCGUUUACCCGUAAAAUUUAAAUAGAUGGUUAUGAAUAUUAAUCGCGGUUAUAAAUGGGUAACCAUUUACCCAUUUAUUUUAUAUAUGUAAUGUUGAAUAUUUUAAAAAUAAAAUUUUAUAUGUAUAUGCGGCUAUUUGACAGUAGAUGGGAAGUUAUGUUAUUAACCCAACAAUCACAUCUCUUCAAUUUGAAUGUUGCAUCUUUUGAAUGUUGCCGAUAAGACAUGAUUCAUGGUCAACAAGUGUAAUCCUUCUCCUAACCAUGUUCUCUGUCGGACAAAACUUAAAUCAAUGCUAAUAUAAUGUGGCUCAUUAUAUAUAUUAUGUUAAUACUUUACAUUAUGGGUUAAAUAACCCAAGAAUACUAUCUUCUAAACAGUUUUCGUAACCCAAGAAUACUUAGCAAAUAUUAUAUUACUUUCAUUGGUAACAGUUAAAAAUAUCGUCCGUAAACUAUUAUUUCAAUUUUGAAAUGCUAUAAGGACUUAAAAAAUUAAAAUACGGAAAUGUAUGAAGAAUGUUACCUAUAACGGUGUUUAAUUGUCAAAAAAAAGAAAAUUAUGACAAUUUUUUUUUUAAUUUUCAAGUUGUUAAAAAACAUGUAGAUGGGUGAAAAUGGGUAAUGGCAAAAAAAAAAAGAGAAGAUAAACGGGUUAAAAGGGUAAAUGGGUAAACGGGUAUUAAACGGUUACAGUUAAAUAGGUAUGCGGUUAUGGGUAUGAGUAUAACCGUUUAGGCAAUUACCCAACGGAUAAACGGUUAUGCGGGUAUGAGCAUAAACGGUUAUGGGUAAAUAACCGUGGUUACCCGCCCAUCAUAACCGUUGCCGAUCACAACCAUGGAAGAAAAUAUCGAUAAUAUCGGCGAUAUAUCGCCGAUAUUAUCGGCUUUUUCCCGAACUGAUAUUUUAAAUGGUAUCCAAGGUGUUUUCGUCAUAAUAUCGCGAUAAUAUCGAUAAUAUCGCGAUAUUAUCGAUAUUAUCGCGAAAUUUCGGAACUGUGCACGUCGGAGACAAACGUCGGAGCUUCUACAGCUCCGGCCGACUGUAAAACUGCUCCCUAGCCUCGCCGGAGAUGGGUGUACUUAUUCCUGAGUCGAUUUCAUCCCAAAAACCUUGCAAAAACACGACAUAUAACUUCAAUUUCACAUCUAAGCUUCGAUCUAGAAUAUAAAAAGAAAAACCCGAAGCUUACCUACCUGAGAAAUUGAAGGAACUCGCCAGAGCAGGUGCGAUGGUGUGCGUGUGGGUCUCGGUGCAGAGAGAAGAGAGAUCUUUGUGUGAGUGUGUGUGGUUGGACUGGGAGAAGGGAGAAGAGAGAUCGAGAGAUCUCUGUGUGAGUGUGUGUGUGGUUGGACUGGGAGAAGGGAGAAGAGAGAUCGAGAAGGAUCUCUGUGUGAGUGUGUGAGUGGUUGGACUGGGCGAAGGGAGAAGAGAGAUCGAGAAGGAUCUGUGUGUCGUUGAAGAAUCCCCAACCUUUAAGAGACAAACCAGCAAGCACCUCCCUCGACCCACCUCGUUCCUCCGCCGCAAACCUACCCCGUGUCCUCAUCUAACUUCUCUCCUCUGUCAACCCACCGCCGUUCCACUAUCAACUUCACCGGUAUUCCUCCGUCGGCCCCGCUUCCGCUCCCGCUUCCGCCUCGUCCUUCAACCUCUCUCCUCCAUCGAAGUAGGUCCAUAAGAAUUCAUGAAAGGGAGGGGAUCUUUGUUCUUGGUGUAUAGUGUGACGACGCUGCACUGAUACAAAUCUGUGAUGGCAUAGGAAAAGACAAGGACGAUGCAGGAUGGAGCAGAGAGGAAGUGAAAAUGGAUUAUGGGGUGUUUGGAUGCCUAGGUAAUUGGAUAAACAGGGUGUUUGGCUGCAUAGCUUAAACAUAUAAAGUAGUACACAUGUUCUCUUUUAGUUGAGCCAUAUCAAUGGUCAAUGAAAAUUGGGUACCCACUUGUGAGUACCAAGUAUUAUCCGUGGACGGGAGACUUAAACAAACAAAACCAUUGGCUUUGAUGUUUGUAACUUGUAAUUAUGAGGUGGACAGGUAACGUGAAAGAGGUGAGGUGCACCUCUGAUGGUUUUAACUUUUAAUAAAUGUUAUAUAAAUUAUAAAUUAUAAAUUAUUUAGAUAAUAUUUUGUUUUUUUUACUAAGCAAGCAGAUUAUAUUCGAACCCUCCCUUUGUCAACCACGCACUUAGGCUUUAUCCAACUCGCUACAGAUGUGUUUGUGAUUACAUAUUCAGCCUGUAAUAUUUAUAUGGUCGUUAAGAUGUCUGCAAGGCUUGCAAGCUAAUAUUUAUUAUCUAGGAUAAAUUUCUAUAUUUUAAAAAACACAAAGGUGAAAAUUUUGAACCUCAUAGGAACUCUAUGUGGUACUAAGUCACUCAUGUAUCUUACCAUGCAAUGUAUAAAGUGUAAAAUAUUGUACUAAUUCAUUAUAUAUAAAUGAUUAUGGUGUGUUUAGACUUCUUUCAUUAAUUACUACAUAUUUUAUACACUCACAAUGUUUGUCAGCUCACUAUAUAAUCAACUUGAUAAUGUUAAAUCCAUCAUGCAAUGCAUUUCCUUCCAAUUUUUUGUGAUAAACUAAUAGAUAAUUGAUUAAAUAAACAUCCUGCAAAGUUUCAAUAAAAAUUUCCAAGUUUUUCUUACAAUUUCCUUGGUUUCCAUGUAAUUUUUAUCGAUAUCGAUAUUAUCCCGAUAUUUCCAUCGAUAUUUCCGUGUUUUCGGACUACCGAUAUUUCCGAUAUUACCAAUAUUUUCUUCCUUGAUCACAACAUAUUGAUUUACUCAACACAAAUGUUCAUAUGACUUCAGGUAAAUUGCUCCAGUAAUAAUCCCAUUUCAGGUCAAUUAAGUUGUCAUGAUCUGUACCAUGUAGCUGCAUGGAAUAGCUGUUAAGAAUUAUUGAUCGAACCUUAGUUUAAUUUUCUCCUCUGAAUUCCAUGAAUAUCAGACUUUGUAUAAUUGAUUGAUAUCGAGUGAACAACAUGUUUGAUUCAUCAUUCAUUUUAUUUGCAAAUUCUUAGGUACGAGUCAAAGUUUAUCAAAGAUAUUGUUAAAGUGAUUAGUGAUAAGCUAAGUCGCACACACUUGAGCGUUGAAUCAAAACUGGUUGGCAUCCAUUCUCGAGUCGAACCCAUCAAUUUAUGGUUACAAGAUCCAUCACAUGAUGUUGGUAUACUUGUUGUUUAUGGGCUGCCUGGAAUAGGGAAGACAACCAUUGCAAAAUGUGUUUACAAUUCAAACUUUGAAAGUUUUGAAGGAAGCAGCUAUGUUGAAAGUAUCAGAGAAACUGCAAGUCAUCCAGACGGCUUAGUUCAAAUACAAAAGCAAAUUCUUUAUGAUAUUUUAAAUGGGAAAAAGGAGAAAAUACACAAUGUUAGUGAGGGAAUAAUUAAGAUUGGAAGAGCCAUAAGCUUUAGAAGAGUUCUUCUUGUUCUUGAUGAUGUGGACCAUGUGGACCAAUUAGAUGCAGUACUGAGGAUGAAAGAUCAGUUUCAUCCUGGAAGUAAAAUAAUCAUAACAACUAGGCGUGAAAGGUUGAUAAAGGCACAUGAAGGUAUUACGGUGCAUGAAGUUGGACCUUUGGGUUUCGAUGCAUCAUUGGAGCUCUUAAGCUGGCAUGCUUUUGGCCAGGAUCAUCCCCUUGAAGGUUAUGAGAAAUAUUCUGAAGAAGUCGCACAACACAGCGGAAGACUUCCAUUAGCACUCAAAGUUUUGGGUUCUUCUCUUUUCGGGGAACCUAAGCGUGUAUGGAAAUGUACAUUGGAGAAGCUAGAGGUUAUUCCAAAUGGUGAAAUCAUGAAUAAUUAAGAAUAAUCUACGACUCUUUACAAGAUGACCAUGACCAGAAAUUAUUCCUCCAUAUUGCUUGUUUCUUUAUUGGAAAGGAUGAAGAUUACAUUGUCAGAAUACUAGAUGGAUGUGAUUUCAAGACAAUCUGUGGCAUUCAAAAUCUCAGAGAUAGGUGCUUGGUGACAAUUGUUAUGGACAAGUUGUAUAUGCAUGAUGUGAUUCGUGACAUGGGACGAGAAAUUGUUCGUCGAGAAUCACAUGAACCUGGGAAUCGUAGUAGAUUGUGGCGCUCUAAGGAUUCUUUCAAAGUAUUGAGAGAAAAAAAUGUAAGAAAUGUUCAUUGUAUGUGUGUGUUUCUUUUUCUCUUGUGCUAAUUAACCAAUUGUUUUUCCAAUUUCUUGUAUAGGGUACGCAAGCAAUUGAAGGUCUUAUGUUGGACAUACAUGAACUGCUUACAGACAGUCCCAUAAACUCAAACGAGAAUGUCUUGGAAACCAAUUCAUUUGCAAGGAUGCACAAACUCAAACUGCUCUAUCUUAGACAUGUACGACUGGACGGAUGCUAUGCAGAACUUCCGACAAGGUUAAGAUGGUUGUGCUGGCCCGAAUUUCCUUUGGAUUCAAUUCCUGUUGAUUUUUCUUUGGAGAAAUUGGUAGUUCUUGAAAUGCAAUAUGGCAACUUGAGACAACUCUGCAAAAGAGCAAACGUAUGUUACUCAACGCUUUUCAAUUUUGUUUUCCUUCUUUCUUUAGGUUUUAAUUCUUUAAUUAAUUUUAUAUGUUGGAAUCAAUUCCUAGUUAUUUUUGUUUGUUUGUUUAUUUUUAUUUGUUUCUAGUUUCUUCCAUCAUUGAAGACCCUUGAUGUCAGCCAUUCUCAUGGCCUUAGUGAAACCAUGGACUUCUCACCUUGCCCCAAUCUAGAGGAAUUGAUUCUUGUGGAUUGCACCAGCCUGAUUGAUGUUCAUGAAUCCAUUGGAAACCUGGAGAGACUCGUGUACUUGAAUAUGAAGGAUUGCAAGAAUCUUAGGAUGCUUCCGAAGAACAUGUGUUUUCUUAAAUCACUUGAAACACUCAUUUUAUCUGGCUGCUCAAAUCUUGAUGAGUUUCCAGUGGAGAUGAAGAAGAAGAUGGAGUCUCUGAAAGUUCUUAAAAUGGAUGGAAUUCCAAUAAGAGAAUUAUGGCCAGCAAGAAGUUCAAGUAUCUUGAGUUCUUUUCCAUGCUCUUUAGUAAAGUUAUGUAUGGUGGGGUGCAAUCUUUCUGAUGAUGCCUUCUGUAGGGAUUUAAGUAGUCUAUCCUCGUUGCGAACACUAAAGUUAGGUGAGAAUCCAAUUUGCUGUCUGCCAGGUUUCAUCAAAGGUUUGAGAAGGCUCGAUCAUCUAUCUUUCCAGGAUUGUAGUAGGCUCAAAUCGCUUGUGGGGUUGCCGAAAGUACACCGAAGGAUAAGUAUAGCCGGAUGCAUAUCAUUAGAAAAAAUGACUUUUCAUUCCCCUGAGCAACAGUCUACAAUGUUCAGCGUGGGUGACAACUGGAAUCUAGUUGAGUGGCAGUACGACUACAAGUUAUAUGUGGAAAUGAUCAAACUUUUGGGCGUGUGCAACUUGGGAUCCUUGCCAGCCAUUAGAAUGAACGCACUGUUCGGAUGCGGUGGUUCAAAAGAGGGUAAAUGGAGUCCCGUCCAGGUGCCUCUCUCUCUCUCUCUCUCUCUCUCUCUCUCUCUCUCUCUCUCUCUCUCUCUCUCUCUCUCUCUCUCUCUCUCUCUCUUAUAAGUCAUUAAUAUAUCAUGGGAAAGAAAUAACUGAGUAAUGUUGUGAUGAUCGUGGCAAUUACAUAGGGACUGUAUGAAAAUGGUAUAUUCAGCACGUUUUUUGUUGGGAAUAAGGUUCCAGGCCAAUUCAGCUAUAAAAGUACCAAGUCUUCGAUAUCUUUUAUUGUCCCUUUACUACUUGCUAAUCACAGAAUUCGAGGCUUGAACAUCUUUGCUACUUAUGCAAAGGAGCAGAAUUAUAAUAAUUCUUUUAAUCCAAUAAUGACUAAAGUGAGUAACAAGAGUAAGGGUCUGAAGUGGAUCUAUGGCCCAGAGUUCUAUGGAAUUCCAGGAGAGGGAGAACAUAUGAUAUGGUUGAGCCAUUGGAAGAUGGAUAAUGAAACAAUAUUACAAUGUGGAGAUGAAGUGCUUGUUUCAGUACACAUGAGACCUAGUCAGUUUCAGCUCAAGGAGUUUGGUGUCGAGCUUGUGCAAGAGCACCAAGACAAGAUGAGUACCCAACACAACACCAAAUCAGGUCCUAAUUAUCCAUUUGUUAUCGGUGGAGAUUUGGAUACGUGGAAGUGCAGACCGGGAAUAUACUUCCUUGGCAGUAGGACAAGAGAAGAUACUGACGACAUUGAUAUCCUCACCAUGGACUGUGAUGAAGAAGACACAAGUAUGUUGUGUUGUUGUAUUGCAUUGAAUUAUACUUCAUCCAAACACUUCCAAGUGUGUCCGUAUUCAUUUCAAAAACAUUUCCAAUAAGUUUUAUGUUAUUUGUAUGUUUUUCAGCCAAAGAAGGGCAAGAGAAUGAACCUGAUUACACAAUUGCAAAGACGAGGGUUGCUAGCAAAAACUGCAGUCUCGAACGCUGGAAGGUGCUCCUCACAACUGCUGGCUUCUUUUUCACGCUUGCUCUAGUAGUUCAGUCCUCCAUCUCCCAGAAACUGAAGCGACAGUAGUCCACAAGGCUUCCAUGAGUUUAUAAUUUGACUUGAUAUAGAUAUAUCUUUACAUUCCUUACUCGCAAGAUGUUUUCUACCUUCAAGUGCAAUGACGGUUCUAGAAUUCAUACAGCCGACCCCAUUUAGUAAAAUAAGACUUUAUUGUUAUUAAACUGUUUGUGCGGUAAGAACUAAGCGUGAAAAAUAUCUUGUUUUGUAGUCUCUGGUUUGAACAUUAAAGAAAAUCCAAUGCCAUUAUGUGUUUAAACCAAAAUUUUCCGUUCUCUUUUUCCUUUUCUUCAAAAAAUAAAUUUGUACUCUAAUGUCUAGGCAUGAAGAGAUUCUUAGCUAUCUCCGGGUAUAUGUCCCUCUAUUUAUUUCUCAUGGAAUACACAACCGGUUACAAGACAGAUUCUCGAAUCUCUCUCACCAUGCAUGAAAGUUCACGUCGAAUUACCAAAUCAUAUUCUGAGAGAGAAUUAAGAAUUACAUGCAGAUUAACAUUAAAUUAUAAGUUUCUAAUAACACAAAUUAUUAUUUAUACAAAAAAAAUUUACAAGAUGUGUUCAUAAUUAAUUGGUAAUUCUGAUCUUAAUUAACUAAAAGGGCCUUGAGGACAUGUCUCAAUGUAUAUGCUUGUCUGUGCAGAUCGUCUUCCUCCUCCUUUUCUUCAUCCACAAGAAAUCAAAGACAUGCCCACAAAAACCCACACACGAAAAACAAAAAAUUAAUAAAAAUAAAAGUCAGCGAGAAAAGUCAAACAAUGCAGAUCUGAUCCUACCCGCGCCACACCCGAUCAAAUCCCGAGAAAAUCAGUGGCGGACCGAGACAUGAUGGUCGCGAAUUCGUUGAAGCUAAUGACGCCGUCGCCGUUCGUGUCGGCCUCCCUCAUCAUAUCGGAGAGCUCCCGGUACGUCAAGGGGUGGCCCAUUUUGGCCAUGGAUCCGGCGAGCUCGGCGGCUGUGAUGUAGCCGUUGCCGUCGCGGUCGAACGACCGGAAGACCUCCAUGAGCUGCUCCUGGUUGAUCAAAAUCUCCUCGUUCAUGUCUGGGAGGAUGGCGGUGACGAGCUCGUCGAACUCGAUGGCACCGUUGCCGUUGGCGUCGAUGUUGGAGAGGAAAACGUGGAGCUGGUCGCCGGUGGGCUUGAGGCCGAGGGAGCGGAGGAGGGCGGCGAGUUCGAGCUGGGUGAGGCUGCCGUCGGAGUCCAUGUCGAAUCGCAUGAAGAUGUCCUUCAGCUGCUUCAGUUGAUCGGAUCCGAGCGCGGCCAUCAUUAGUAUAACGGCGGCCGAGAAGAAGAAGAAGAAGAAGAAGAAGAAGGAAGGGAUCGAGAGAUCCAGACGAUUUGAAUUUUGUGAGAUUUUGGGAGUUUAAUUUCGGGUGGAUUGGGUUUUUUGUGUGUGGCGCUGAUUGGUUUGUGUUUUUGGGUUUUUUUUCGUUUUCGUUUUUGUUUUUUGAGUUUUAAUUUUUCUUGUGUUUGGAUUAAAAGUUUAAAAACUGAAAACGCGUUUUUGCCAAGAGUUGAUCAAUUGCUACGUGGUUAUAUAUUGGGGGGGAUGCUACUUAGGGGCUGUUUGUUGAUUGACUAUAUUCAGGAGAAAUUUUCAAGUGUGUCAAGAAUAUUUUCGGUACAUUAAGUGCCAUAAUACCGUUGAUUGGAAACUUGAAAAAAAAUAUUCUUACCAAUUAUAUCAUGACACUUGAUAUAUCAGUCCGUAUUCCGGCACAAUGAAAAAUCUCUCCAUAUUUAUGACUUAAAUAUGUGUUUUUCUAUUUUGGGAAUAAUGUGUUGAUUUGGGUCUAUUUAAGUUUUGAAGUAAAUUCAACGCGCUGACAUUUGUGAGUUAAGUCAGUUGGUCAAAGUGAUGCAUUUGCUUCUAUGCACUCAAGUUUGAUCUCAAUUCCCAUAGAAGUUAAACUUAUUCUAACGCGUUUAGUCCAAUGUCAACUAAAAUAAACUUUCGAUUAUGCCGGAUUAAUUAAUUGAUUAAUUAACAACUUUUGUUUUAUUUUUAUCAAGAACAUGGCCUAGCUGUGAUGAGUGUUCAAUCAUUUUUAUUUCUUCUUUAAAAAAUGGGAUCAGCAGGUGGCUUUAUCACGAUAAUCUACUUUUUAGAGGCCGAAAAGAUUUUUAGAGUCAUUUCAGGCUCCUCUAGUUACCAUCGUGUGAUUGGAGCUAACAUAAUUAGGUGAAGAACAUUCGAGAUUCAAUGUGUAGAAUCUAUGUGAAAGUGGCAUUUUCUUAGAAUAUGCAGAGAGCUUCAAUGACAACAUAUUUACAAAGUUGACAUAGUUUGGUUGUGUAGACGCGUGACAAUAAAGACUUAUUUGACAUUUAUAAGCAUGAUGUCAUUAUAUUCGAGAUGUAUGAUAAGGUUUAAGAAUCCAAGCCUUUGAUAUAUACCAAGGGAUGCCAUAUAUAUGCAUAACCUUCUUCAACAUUUGUUCCAUUUGAAUUGCGUACAUUUUCAUCAUAAAACGAAAUGAAUGUGCCACAAUAUUUUGAUCAAUGGCUACUAAAACCCAUUUCGAUUAUACCUGUCACUCUACAUUUAUUGUCACGCGACUAAUUAUGUGACAAGAGAUGUCACGUGACUGGAAAUGCAGAGAAAUGAGGAACAUACGAAACAUGUUGCAGGUAAGUUUUUUCGCGAUUGAAUAGCUACCUAGCUUUAUGAUCAAUAGAUGACAGAGCCACCAUUUCAAUCAAGUGAUAUUGUACAAAACUAGUAUCAAAUGGAUCAUGAUUUGGUGAAUGAUGAGUUGGGGAGCAACCCAAUUCUCCCCUACCCCAAAAGCUUCCAAAUCCAAACUCUCCUCUCUGAGAAAACUCCUGCAGCACCUCCUCCACCUCCUCCAUGCAGCGCCUGCAACUAUGUCCUCCUCCUGCCUCCAUGGAUGAUCUCAUGGACUCUCCGACAACACUCGCAAAGUCAACGUCUUUACAUGUAUCCAACACUAUAAUCUCUUUUCUCCUUCUCUGUUGAAGCUUCUUCAUGGUGUACUCUCUCGUCUUUCGGAUCAACUUGCAAGGGAGCUUGUACAAGAUGAAGAUGGUGAUUUGGAGGAUCAAGCACUGGCAGCAGCACGAAAUCACAACGCAGUCUGCGGCAAUCAUGUUGCAGUCUUCCAUGGCUGCGAAAAUCGGGAGGAAAUGGGUGGUGGUGGUGUAGAAAACAGUUUAAAGAAAUCUUCAUGCCCCGGUGGUGGUGGUGUUUAAGGAAUAAGUUCCUUGCCUUUGUGGGAGGUAAUAGGAAGGGUGAAGCAAUUGGAAUGAUAUGUGGCGCUGUAUAUGAGUCAUGACUUCAAUCAUUGUCUAACAUUAAAAAAAAAAAAAAAAAAAACUCUAGCUUCCAAUAGGGGCUAUCCAAUAUAAUCGAAUUUCUUUUUUCAAACGAUAUUCUAAUUUAAUCUAAAAUACGGGAAACAAGCUCAUUCCGUUCUGCAAUAUAUUAAAAUAUUAGGAUGUGAAAGGGAAACAUAAAAGCUGUUGUUGCUUGGCUUCUACUUCUCCUUGGUGGAAGAUUUCUUUGAUAGCUUUAAGCAUUUCCAUAGAAGGUGUCACGGAGCUGUCUUUCAAAGAAAGUUCUCUCCCCCCUCUUGGAAGACUUGCAAAUUUAUAUAUCUGCAAACCCAGUUUACCCCAAAUAUUUUAGCACGUGACGAGUGAGACACUUGUAAGAAUAUAUCCCGGGGUAUACUCAAGAUUUCCGUGUUUCUGAGGAUGAUGGGGCGGCCUGCAGGCUGAUUUAACAAGCUCGAAAUAGAGGGGUACGUAUUUUCGAUCUGAGAUUGUCACAUAUAAAUCACAAAACAUGGAGUUGUGAAAGAGGGGAAGCAAAAGAGGGAAGAAUAGGAUCCAUGGUUAACAAAAUUGAAUUAUUACCUUUAUAACACCACCAAAAAUAUUGGUGGAUGCAACAAGAUCAUCAUACAUAGGCUAAGUAAUUACAGGGGCAAAAAAUGGCGGUCCAUAAACGUAUAAUAUAGGCGGAAGCUAAAAAUGGACCUUCACAGGAACGAUGGAACGAUCUAUACAUCCGCUGCAGUCAGUUCCAGUUGCAGAAAGAUCAGGUCCCAGCUGAGCCAAUCCAAAUCUAGCUCAAUCUGGCAAAACCCCUUUCAGCUAAGUGUUUAACUCUCCGAAUGUGUACUAUACCUCUUCGCUGAAAAAAUCUGUACUGUAAUUUUGACUACCAAAUGCCAUUCUCCGGAACAACCUAAUUUCAGCUGAUUGUUGUGCCGAGUCAAAUGCCUCACUUUCCCCCACUCUCAUUCCGUUGUUUAUAUCGGAAGCAACAAAACUAUCAAAAGCUCUAACAACCUGAGGAGAGUGAGAAUGAUGAUGUUAGCUUAAGCUGGUGAAGUGAAUGAAUUCACAUUAUAAAAAAAUUUCAGCUUCUUAUUACCUGUCCCAUUCGUGGUCUCUUAGCAGAUGAAUGUCGCACACAAGCAGCAGCAAUCUCGAUCAUUCUGAACAUUUCAGUAUCCACAUAAUUCUUUUCGAGCCUUGGAUCUACCACGCCGUCAAAAUCUUCAUUAUCAAGAGCAUAACUCAACAACGGCCGAGCCUGGAUGGUAAAAUGCGUCUCUUGUCAGGAAAGCUUGGGUUUGACCUUAGAACAUUCAGUUGGUUAACUAUACAGUUUUAUUUCAUUCAAUAAACAUAUUGUCAAUUUGUUACAUAUAUGUCUCCUAUGUACAGUCUCACAUCUUUAUUAUGCAUUUAUCUACGUACUUUUGAAAAAAUUGAAAUGAAUUCACAACUAAGGCGAGACUAAAUUGUGCCCGCUGAAUCCAGACAAAUAUUGACAGCAUAAUCAGAGAGUGAAAAAGAUUUCAUGCAUUGAGAUUUCUUUCUGUAAGACGGUUCUGGAGUUUCAAUGCAUUCCUUGUUUAAAAACUAUAGGGCCAGAAGAUCUCACUCAAUAAAUUGGGGACUUCAAAAUAUUCAACCGAAAAUAUCAAAACAUUAUUAUCGAAUUGAAGCAAAGUAAUAUAAACGCUGCAGCAUGAUAUGUCCAGUAUGAAAAGAGGAUGUAAGUUUACCCAUUCAACUAGACUCUCAUCUCCCAAGGGUUGGGAUGUAUCUACAGGCUUCCGUCCAGUGAUCAACUCAAGAAGCACAACUCCAUAAGAGUAAACAUCAGACUUCUCAGUCAAUUUCCCACUUGAUGCAUAUUCAGGAGCCACGUAUCUGAAAAUCAAGCGGAAUCAAUACAUUAUCAGGCAUGAAAGGUAUGUUUGUGAUGACAGUAUAAAUUAAAAUAUAGAAGAAACCUCAAGAAUAGCUUUGAUACAAGUAGAAAGCAUAUGGGCCAACACUAGAUUGCUGACGUACCCAAACGUUCCCAUCACACGUGUGCUUAUAUGCGUAUUUGCAUCAAGCGCUAAUUUGGCAAGUCCAAAAUCUGAAACCUGUAAAGUAAAGAAGGAAACCAUGAGCUACAACCUAACCAAAAUAUAGGAGUACUGAAAUGUGCUCUGAGUGAAAUCAUGCUAUACCCGAGCUUCAAAGUUGUUAUCUAAAAGAAUGUUUGACGACUUUAUAUCCCUGUGAAUAAUUCGAGGAUGACCUGACAUUAAACAAAUAAAACCAAACUUGGUCAACAAAACACUUCCAGUUAAAUUAUGUAACCGAUAAAACAAUUGUACGAGGAUAUAGUAACCCAAACAUUCAGCUAUCAGAAUCCAGAAACUCAGGGUAGAUAAUUACAAUCUUCAUGAAGAUAAGCGAUCCCACGAGCUGCACCAGCAGCAACCUUAACACGUGUCGCCCAGUCCAGAACUGGCCUACCUUCUCCUGAAAAUUGCAAGGUGCAAAACAUGAGAUUACGGAACCAUUAUCACUAACUGUUACUUAAAAGCUCUGUUAUAGAUAUACCAUGAAGAUGAAAAUAAAGGCUAUCGUUAGCAACAUAUUCAUAGACGAGCAGCCUUCGAUUAUCAGAGAUGCAGUACCCAACCAGAGAAACCAAAUGGCGGUGAUGUAUGCGACUAAUAAUCUCAACUUCAGCCUUGAAUUCUCGCUCACCCUGACCCCCUCCAAUUUUUAGUUGUUUUACUGCCACCUCUCUCCCAUCUGGUAGGCAUCCCUUAUAAACACAACCAAAUCCGCCUUCGCCCAAAAGAUUCUGAGAUGAAAAACCAUUUGUGGCCUUAGCUAGUUCUUCAAAAGUAAACCAUGGUCUUGAAUUUCCAACUCCUGCUUGUUCUGGUGGAGGACUCAUGAACUCACUGCCAGAACGGCUUCCAACAAGGGGAGCUGAAGAAUGUGCCUUCAAGAAGGAUGAAUCUGGAAACAAGUUACAAAAGCCUUCUUAAAUACAACGGCUUAUAUGAGCUGAUUAAUUUAUCCCAUACCCUGAUCUGAGUGAGGCUAAAUAUACUCUUAAAAUAGUAUGUUGAACUUAUUGAAAUUUAGAAAUAUCAUUAAACAGAAAAUCCCACAUUCAUAAUAACAAAACAAGGAAUCAACUGCGUUAUGUAUGAUUGAAGGUACCUGAUCGUGGAGAAGAAUCCAUAGUGGAUUGCAUAGCAUAACCUUCAAACCCGGAUACUUUUUUCUUUUGCCUCCUCAUGCACCAUACAAUCAACCCAACGAGACUAAGCACUACUGCCCCUACCACUACUCCAAUCGCCACUAUGCCUCCGGUACCAAUGCCGUUGGAAUUUGAACUUUGUGGUGCAUUCGGACUGGAAGUGUUUGUUAGUGGACUUGGAAUUUGAGAAUGAACUGGUGGAGAAGCCUGUGAGGGGGGAGGUGGUGACAUUCUUAUGAUGGGUGGUGGAGGUGAAGGGGUUGGUUGAGAACCAGGUGGGGCUGGAGUAGUACGGCUAGGAGGCGGGGGUGCUUUUCUGGGAGGUAUUGAUGCUGGUGGAGGAGAUGAACUUUCAGGGGGGGUUGAUGCUGGUGGUGGAGGUGAACUUUCACGGGGGGUUGAUGCUGGUGGUGGAGGUGAACUUUCACGGGGGGUUGAUGCUGGUGGUGGAGGUGAACUUAUGGGUGGCACAAUUGCUGGAGGUGGGGGUGAAUUCGGUGGUGGGUCUGAUGGUGACGGUCGUGGUGAAGUUUUGGGGGGACUUGAUGGAGGUGGAGGAGACUUCUCAGGUGGCGGUGAAGUUUCAGGCGGCUUUGAAGAGGGUGGAGGUGGAGGUGAACUCACUGGUGCGGGAGAUUGCGGCGGAGGAGGUGAACUUGCAGGUGGAUCAGAUGUUGGUGGUGGCGGAGAAGGUGAACUUUUCGGUGGAUUUGAUGAUGGUGGGGGUGGAGAACCAGAAGUUGGUGAUGGGGGUGAAGAAUCAGAAGCUGGUGGAGGUACAUUGGAUGAAGGCGGUGGUGGCGAGGUUGGCGGUGAAGCAGAUUGUGGAGUUGGAGGAGGUGUUUGUGUUGGAGGUGGUGAGGAUGUGGUUGGAGGAGGAGCUGAUGAAACAACAGGUUGCGGAGAUUGAGUGGUUGCCUUAGAGGACUCUGGUGAAUCCAAAUUCGGCUGAGAAGACGGUGUCGGUGUGGCGGUUGACGGCGAUGUUAAAGUAGUAUUGGAAGCUGGCGGCACGGCGGAUGGAGACGAAUUUGGAGAUGGCGAUGUGGUUGCCAUCUAACUAGACCCAAAAUCCAGUGAUGGAUACCAUAUAACUCACACACCACAACCUUCAAUCAAUCAUGAAAUCUUCAAUCUUUUCACAAAAAAAACAGAGCUUUCAAUACAAAAGGCCAAAAAUUAGAGAAAAACCCAAGCGACAAGUUUCAAGUCUUUGUCAAACCAACAUCUCCAAAAACUUCAAAAAAUGGAAUUCCCGAAAUUCCCCCCACCACCAAACUCCACCAACCAAUCACCUCCAAAACAUCAAAAUAUUCUUCUGUGAUCAAAAUCCCAGAAACCCAACUCAGCAAACAGGCUUUUCAGAUCACUAACUUCAAAGAGUGUGAGAGAAUUCUAAUUUCACAAAUAUUAAAGUAGCAAUCUUUCUCUAAGUGAACACUCAAAAAUCCAAACUUUAAGUGACCAAACGCAGCAGAAGCAGCAAUAUUAUCACAAAUUGGUACUAAUAAGCAAAACCCAAAUGGUAAAAUCUGGAAAGGACUUACCUUUACUUCGUCAAUGAUGGCCAAACAAAAACCCUAAACUUUGAUCUCUUGAAACUUCCUUAUCUCCCAACUCUGCACCGGAAGUUCAACACACGGCUUGUGGGGUCUCAAAUGUACUCUGCGAAAACUGAAAACGACUCCGAAAGAAAAAUUAUUAUUGUUUGAUGACAAUUUAUAUGGUAUUUUCUUUUUUUUAAACUCUUUCUUUUUUUCUUUUCUUUUUUUUGAAAAAAUAAUCAUAAAUAUUGACAGAUUAAUGUGGUUGGCUUUUUUUUCUAACGUCCAUUUAGUACUACGCAACGUAAACGCAUUGUGCAAUUUGGUCAGCGCAAUUUAAAUCUUAUGGAGUUUGGACCUUUUCCAUUUGUUUCCUUUCAAAUAUAUUUAGAUUUCAUAAAUUUGUUUUUAUAAAGUUUGAUACGUUAUAAUAACUAUCAAUUAAUUGAAUAUAAACAAAAUGUUGUAAAAUAGUAUUAUCAAAAUUUUGGCUUUUCAUUCUGUUUCCUCUUAUGAUUUUUUAAUGAUUUUCACGCGAGCAAUAUCAUACGUCGGUAGAAAAUUUCCGGCUCAAUUUUUUUUAAGUUUGAAAAGAUAUGGGAGAUAUGUAUUAGUUUUUGCAGUGUGUUAUUACGUAAGCUGUCAUAUAAAAUGGAAUUAUUCUAUAACUAUGACAAUUAAAUUAGUAAACUAUUCACCUCCCUAAAAUGUUGAUUUCGUCCUUAAAGACAAUUUAAUACUAUAAACAAAUAGAAUAAUCACUGUAAUGUGCCUGUAGUCUGUAGUUUUUUGGAGUUUAAUUUUGGAGCCACGAGUUUGACAACAUUCUUUAAUGCCACCAAAUCCAGCUUAGUCCAACUUUCUUUUUUUUUUUUUUUUUUUUAAUUUUAUAUAUAUAUUCGUUCAAAAUUUUGUAAAGAAUGUGCUAUUUACAUAUUUAUUUAUUUAUAUAUUUCUGUUUAUUGAUCUUUUGAUCAUCUUCAAUUCAUUUAAUUCGACGGUUAAGAAUUGAGAGGUAUGACGUGUAAAAGAUAAAAAAAAAAAAUUAUAUAUAUAACACCACUAUUUUGUAAAUCGGCAAUUCAGCAACUCAGCAAUAUACAUAUAUAUACACAUAUAUAUACAUACAUAUAUACAUAUAUGCAUAUUCUCGAUGGGAACAAGGACAAUCUCCGAGCAUAAUCUUUUAUUUUGUUCACAUUAGAAGAAAAGACUACAUGCAGGGUUAAAGUAAUCCGUUAGUUUAUGGACAAGCGAUAGGAUGCUAUGAAAUAUAAUAUAUUGAAUAGCGGGUUUAAUCUGGUGGCGGUGGGGCCGGCCCGGCAUGGAUAAAGAGAAGUAAUUUUGUGUUGUGAUUUUAUAAUUUAGGGAAAAUUAGAAUUUCCUAUAGUUUUUUUAUAUUAUUUAGAUUAAACAUUUGUGUUUUUUUUUAAAUUUGAUUAAAAUGCUUUGAUCAAUAGUCACCUCUAUUUUUUAAAAUACUAUUUAUCGUUUUAUCUGCAUGAUGCACUUUUCCUUAUUUAGUAGAGAUAUUAUUAAUUAAACUAUAUUUUCUCUUCUUCCAAAUAUGUUUUUUCAAUCACAGGUUUUUUUUUUCGUUAUGAAAACAUUUAAUAUUAUUUCUUUUUCCAAAUGGUUUUUCUUUUUUCAAAUAGUUGGUAAUCAACAUAAAAGUUCCAUGUAAUUUUUUCAAUUUUUUUGUGAAAUUAUUAUUAUUAUUUUGCUGUUUUUUUUAGUAUAGUUGUUGACGAAUUAUUAUUAGGUACAAUACAUUACAUAUAUAUUAUCUGCGGGUAUGUUUGUAUUUACAAAAUUUUUUAAUUUGUACGUUUAUUUGCAAUUUUGGUACGUUUGAUUUGAUACUUAUUGUUAAUAUUGUUACAUUAUUUUUAUUUUGGUACGUUUUAUUUUGUACAUGUAUUGGUAUGUUUAUAUUAUUCACAAUCUUAUUUUCUCUUAAAGUACUAAAAGAAAAACUUAUUUCGGUACGUUUGAUUUUGGGGGAUUUAAAAAUAUUUUAAACUAUUUUGGAAAGAAAAUAUCUUAAAUUCUAGAUAAUUAUUGCUAAAUUGUAGCAUUAUUGUGAAAAUAAAUUGAAUCUAACCAACUUUUUUUUUUUUUACAAUUAUCUCUAAUGGAGAAGAUAGUAAUCAAAAGGUUAGAUUAUAGGAAAUUUGUUACAAUAUAAUGUGCAUAUAGCACCAAAAUUAUAACAAAAAAAAGUUUAAUCAAAUCACUAAAAGACAUGGAUGUUUGAUCUAGAAAAUUCAAAAUUGAGACGCCUAUAUCAAAAGAUCCCCAUAAUUUAAUAGGAGGAGCAUCGUCUCUCUCACAGAGGAUGUCUGCAGAAAUUGUCAAAUGUUUGAAAGUGGAGGAGGUGGUGGGUCAGUGCCCUAAUUAUGCCCCGUCUGUUGCUGUUUUUCUGCUGCUGCUGCCCGUGAAGCUCCUCCACGGGCUGCUGUUUUGGAUCUUGACGUCGAGAUUGCUCGGUUUCAAAGCUACCAUGGUAUCAUUUGAGACCUGAAAUCUAAAUCCUAAAAUGUGAUUUAUCUACGACAAAGAAUGCCCACGCAUAUGUAAAUCGAUUAAAGUAGUGUGUUUUCUCUUUUGUAUUUAAGUUUGAAUUUCUUCGUCAUAAUUUAAAUUACUAAUAUGUAAAAUGUUGUUCGGUGUUUACUGUUGUUUAAAAUUACAAUGGCUCCUUUAUUUUUCUAAGUUAAUAUGUGGAGUAAUGCUAAGUAGACCGAAUUUCUAAACCAAAUUUGCAUUGGAUUAAUGGGUAAGUUGGUAAGUGGGUUCUUUUUUUUUUUUUUGCAAAAUUUAACUUUUUAUAAGAAUCAAUAAAUUUUUUUUUUCAAAUACCGGAUAUUCAAAUGGUACUCUACAUGUCAUAAUACAUUUUUCGUGUUCCUAUACCUAUUUUAUAACACGUGAGUGCUCAUUUAAAAACUAAUCACUUUGAAAACGUGGUAUUGGGGAAGAAAAGUAAAAGCAAACCGCGAAUAUACGAAGCACACGCGUGCACAGUAACAAUUCUGCCCAAGUGAUAAGAUCGUGGGAAGAAAAGCCGAAAUCUAGUGAAAACACACAUGCAAGUUGCAACCACGACCACGACAUCAAGGUUCCCAAAGUCUACUCCCCGCACAUUGACGUCGUAUUCUUGCACUUCAUUAUUGAAACGAUGCCACAUGUGGUGCAACUUUCUAGACACGGAGGAGUUGGAGAACUCCUUUGCAAUUAAGAUAUUACAUGAGUUAGUUGCCGUAUCUCAUAUCAAUCACAUCUUGUUAAGUGUUAUUAAAAUUUUUUGGUAACAAGUUUGAGUUGAGUUAAAAUGUUUACCUAUUUAACAUAACGUUUUGCGUCAAUUAUACAACACGCGUAAAUUUCUCUAAAAAACAUUAUAUUAUUAGCAAGAGAAAUCACGUUCCUGAUAUAUUUGUGUUAUGAAAGUUACUCUCGCAUUUGAGAGUUAAAAAGUCAACCAAACCAAAUUACGUUACCUUUAGCUUAAGCUUAUUAAUUGAUAAUUUACCCAUUUGGGUCACAUUGAUUUUAGGCGCAGGAAUGUCUAAAAAGUUUGCCCCAAAAGUAAAGAAAAUAGAACAAAGGGCUUUAAGCCCAAUCCGCCUAACUUGAACUUAGAGAUCCACAAUACAAGCCUAACCUGACAACCUCCGUCUCACCAAACUAACUUAAUUGAAAAUUAAGCAAGUUUGUUGCAAGAGAAGUUCAUUUUUCUGGGUUACUCUAAACUUGAUACACUCCGGGACAUAUCUAAUCGAUGUGUUUCCGGUAUACGAAGGAGAAAAACUAACUAUUUUAAAAUUCAAAAAAAUGAAAAAUGAGAAAAGUUUACAAGAACUACCGUGUUUAGUGGUGUUCAGCUGGUGGAUUGAAGCAGCUUCAUAUAUUUGGAGAUUACCGUACCUUUACUUUCACCCGGGCCUCCACGGAUGUAUGCUUGGAUUCCACAGCGGCAACUGGAGAUCCUAUAAUCCUGUUGGGGGGUGCUCUAUAAUACAAGAUCCUUGUUUGCCCUUCAUGCGAGAAGACAAAAAAAUGGUUAACAAGGAACGUGCAGCAGGGUGGCGGCCAACUUCAACAAGGAGGCUUGACUGCGAACCAUGACGUGAGAAAUAUCCUUUUUUACUCUUGCCUAAUCGUGAAUUUCUUCUAGCAAUUAUCACAGCUGCCCAACUCUUUCCUAGUUUCGUUUGGAAUUUGCCUGGGGAAAAAGAAGGCAAACAAAAAAUAAUAGUUACAAAUAGCAGAAAUCACAAAUUUCCCUACUCUAGUUAGCAUCAAAAUAAAUCAAUCUAGCUGCUGUCGAAAUGAAGAACUCAUCCAGCACCUUUCCAUGUUCUGUUUGGGAAUAAAAAUAUCAAGAGAGGAAGAUAAGAAAGCUAACAAAGUUACAGCAAAAGAAUGAAACACUUUUACCCAUUUCGUAUUCCAACGCUUGCAGAAUCAUUUCAACCUGGACAGAAUUGCAUAACCAUACUGAAUGAAGGGAAAUCUUAAGAAAUAGUGGAAGGUCUGAAAGGUCUAUACGCGUAACUCAUGUCAGCCCAUAUAAGCACGCAGCACGCAAGUAGGAAUGAGUAUAUUUCUUGUGUUGCAACAUUACUUUAGUCUAAAGAAAGGUUUGGAAUUGGCACUGUAGAAAUGAAUAGUGUUUCAAUCCGAAUUUCAGAUUAAUUACAACCAUGCCAUUGGUCUUUGUGUUGGUUUUGGGUCAGCAGCUCGGCCCUUAGCUAGGCCCAAAUGUGUUGGUUUUGGCUGGGAAGCCUGGCCCUUAGUGAUGCCCAAAUUAUUUAAUUACAUUUUUGCCCGUCUAAGAUUAGAAUCCGAUGGUGGGGAUGGUGUAUUAUGAAGGGCAAUUUUGUCCUCUCCGUUUUGGGCGAGAUGGGGGGUCACCGGUUAGGUAUCAUUUGUUGUCAUUCAAUUAGGGUUUCAGGGAGGGUCUGCGAGAGAGAGAGAGAGAGAGAGAGAGAGAGAGAGAUGGCGAUGCAAGGAGAGCGAGGGGGAGGGGGAGGGGUAGGGGUCUCGGCACUGUUGCUGCAGAUGGGAGGGUCGGUAUGGUCAGAGAAUACCAUAUGGAUCGUCGGGAUUUUAGGGAGACGGGGUAGGGGUCAUCAACAAACCCUACUGAGAGUGGGGUGUGCCGGAUCUUGCGUUGCAUGCCUCAAAUCCAAAGAUAAGUUCUUUUUUCAAUUGUAUUCUUUAAUGGUGCCUUAGAUUUUCUAAUUGUUUAAGUAUGUUAGGUCCGGUUUUGGGGGAUUUGUGAUUUUAUGGAGAGAGAUGGAUAGGGAGAUAGAGAUUGACAGAGAAAGGAGAAAGCAUGGCUAUGUGCAUUUUUUGGGGUUAAUUAAUGGGUUGGUGCGCAGAGUUAGUGAGGAGAGAGUGACAGAGGGGCAAUAUGGGCACUUUUCUUGGCAAUAUAGUGCUUAGCUUAAAAUUAGAAUGUGAUUAAGUUGUAUUGAAUUUGUUCGAUUAACCAUUGGACCAUUUAUAGUUCAUUUAAUCUUUUGAAUUAUAAGCUAAUGUGUUGUGUCCUUUACAUUUCUUGGUAUGUUAUUGAUAUGGAAAACAUCAUCUAUCUGUUCUAUUUAUCGCAUGUCAUAAGAAUCAAAGUAGACUUGGCAUCCUUUUUGUGGCCUUUUUUGUGUUGGCAGAUGCCAUCAGAUAGGCAAAAUCAUAUUGGCUACAAAGUGCAAUGAAUGCUACAGGUUACUAAGUUUCGCCAUAUGCCUUCAUUGUGGCAUUGCCCUUUCUACAACAAGUAAGCAUUCUAAUUUCACUUUGUGGAAUGAUAUUAAGUUGACUUAUGGAAUAAUAUAGAGUUGUGUCAUGCAUGAAAACUAUGAAUCCAUUUCAUCAUGCAUUUUUUAGUUAAACUACUAUGUUUUUGUUCAAUUGACUACAAUUCAUGCCGCAGUUCGCUUCACAAACCUCUACUGUUAGCUUCCAUACAGUAUGUUGCAAGUUUGAGGAUAUCUCUUGUUACACCCACCCAUAAUUUAAAUUGUAUUUUCACUAAGUUUGAGAUUAUCUUGCUUUUAAAAUGGUUUUUGAGUCUUAAAUGGUGUGCCCAAGGGGCCCACCCUGUUUUGUCCCCCGGUUCCCUUUCCAUUUUCUUUUAUUUUUCUGAAAAGUCUUCCUCUUUCUCUCUUCUCCCUCACUCUCCCUUAUCACUCUCUCUCGGCUCUUUCUAUCUCAACCCCUCCGAGGGCUUUUCUUACCAACAAACAACACCACAACAACAUCAACAUCUCCAUUAGCACCCUAGUGAGCUUAGAAUCGAAGAAAGAACACCCCAAACCCUUCUCUUCCUUUCGGCCGGUACUGUUCAUCAUCUUCUCCGUCGAGUUUCGUAUCGUUCCGACGUUGGUAAGCUUCUAGAAGACCUUGUUUUGUAUUUUAGGGUUAUAUCGAAGCUUGUUUUAAGUUGUGUAUACGUUUGAAUCGCAGAAAAUAGCUCGGAGUAGCUUUUCCAAAUUUUCCGGCGAGCAUGGCCACUUUCGAGGAAUUUUCCGGCCAAACCACUAUGCGUUGGCCGGCAUGCAAGAUAUAAAUCUCUUCGUCUCGCUGAGUACUACAACUUUCCUUUUUGUUUCACCCAAUUUCGUUGAGUAUUGAAGAAGUUAUACUCAUUUGACUCUUACCCAGUUUCCAGCGACCUCAGAGGCUUUCGAGGCAGUUUUCGGUCAAACCAUUGCGAGUUAGACGUCUUGUAAGGUACCAUUCUCUUUGUCUCUUCUAGAACUACAACUUUCCUUUUUGAAUCACUCGAUUUCGUUGAGUUUUGACAAAGUUAUGGCUGUUUAAAGUUGGUGUAGAUUUCCAGCCGAAUUCCGGCCUUCUUCUUCCUUGGGUCCGGCGACCCAUCAAGAAUAGGCCUUUUGGGCCUUUCCUGCCGAGCCCAACCCAAACCCAUUUCUUUUAUUUAUUCAUUUUGUUUUAAUUUUAAUUGGUUAAUAAAAAGGCCUUUGGGCCAUUUUAUUUAGGGCUAUAGGCCCGUCCUCUAUAGAACCCAAAAACCCUUAGGUUUAAGGCCUUUGAGCUUUAGCGGUUGGGGGCCCUAAGCCCAACCCUAACCUUUUAAAUUAUUUUUGUUUAUUAAAUUGAUUUUAAAAACCCUAAAGGCCUUUAGGCCAUUUUCCUUUAGGGCCUUAUGCCCGUGCAUCCUAAGCCAACCCAUUAAACCUCAUUACCCUUAACCUUUAACCCUGAUCUGUCCAAACCCUUUAUGGGAAAUAUUCCGUUAGGGAAUAUUCCAUUAGAGAAUAUUCCGUCAAGGAAUAUUCUAGGAAUAUUCUAUCAACUUUUACGAAGUUUAAAUGAGUCCAUUCUUAGGGUAAUUCGACGUCCUGAAUCCGUUUCCAACAUCCGUUUUUCCAAAUUCAAUUGUUAUAAUAAAGUUUUAUUAAUUGGACCAUUUAUGUGCUUAGGGACAAUAUUUGUGACGUUUCCAUGGUUGCUAGUUUGCGUGGCUCUUCGACGGCUAAGUAUCUGUGAGUGGACCUAGGGCUGGGUUCGGUUCAAAACGGUUCGGUUUUUUGCCAAAACCGAAACCGAACCGAAAUUUCGGUUCGGUUCGGUUCGGUCCAUUUUUUUUUCGGUUUUUUUCGGUUCGGUUUCGGUUUUUUUCGGUUUUUUUUUUUUUUUUUUUUUUUUUUUUGGAAAAAAUGAAAACAAAAUUGAAAUCUAAAAUUUUAACAUCUCCAACACAAUUAUAAUAUAAGCAUUCUAACACAAUGAACAAAAUUUAUAUGAAAAAUGCACACAUCUUUAAAAUACAAAGUACAAGCCUAUCAUUCCUAAACAUGAAGUCGUUUAAUUACCAUACCUGUUUCACCAUCAACUGCAUGAACAUUAUCAGUAAUUUAUUUGAAGGACCACAAAGCCAUUAUCUGGACGUCUAGUAUUCAAAGGAUAAUCUAAAAUUGAACACCACCCAGAUGGAUGGACAAAAAGAACGCUUUGAAGGGAAGCCUAAAAUUAAUUUGAGACAAUACAGAUGCAUAUAACCAGUUUUCUCUAAAGUGAUAUAAGUAUAUCUUAUAUAAAUCAUGUCAACAAGAACAAGCCUGGAUGUUCAAUUCUAUUUGUUCUCUGAGAAAUCAAUACCAACUUCAUAUAUUGUCCAGAUCCGUUUACAAUUUAAACUCUAAUACUCAUACAUAAUGUAGUCAAGAAACAAUAUGCUCUAUUGAUGCUAGGUUUGAUGGAAAUCUUCCUUCAGCACCAAAAACGUUAUCCAUAAUAAAACGCUACUCAGAGAAUUGCAAUGCCUAUGCUACUUUUCAGAACACGUUACCAAUGAAUCUUUGGUCUUUUCCAUCAUGACUUAGCAAGUCCAAGAGUCCAUAACCUAAAUGAAAAUACAUGUUUAACAAGAUUUUUACCACUAAAAGAAACAACAUAUGAUUUACAACCUUCAACAACAUGUCAAAUUUGCAGGGCCAUAGUUUCACUUAAGGAAAUACAAGAGUCGGCAGAGAAAGAAAUUCAAAGAUAACAGGUAAUCACAUAUCAUGGAAGCUCUGAUUCCCAGAGAAAUAUACUUAUCUCCAUCCUCUUUUCAAAUUAUACAUAAAAGUAGGCUAUCUAUCGUCACUACACCUUGCCAAACCAUAAAGCUGCUGAUUUCCUCCAAUAGCCGAGCUUCCACAUAUAUUACCAGCUUGACAGAUUACCCCAAAAACAAAAUGAUAAGUCAAACAUGAUCAAAUUGUUCCCAAAUUAAGACGAAGAAAGAAACUGCAAAAGCAGCUCAAAAAAAAUCCAACUGGGUAACAAGUAAGCAAAAAGUUCCCAACUCAAAUUUAGCAUGCAAUUAAAAAUGAAUGAGCAAAAAAAAUUCAGAAGUACAAAAAAAGACAAUUACUUUCUAUUUCCCUAACCUCAAAUUUCUCCCCUGAGCAAAUUUAACAUACAAUUAACUGAUUAAGCAAAAAAAAAUGAAUGAGCAAAAAAAAUUGUAAAGAAGUGGGAAAGAACACAGAACACCUUGAUUUUUGUGUACUUUUCGUAGAGUUUGGAGUAGAGAGCUUCCGUCUGCGAACGAACAAGAAGAAGCUCACGGCGAGACUAACCUUUUGCAGUCGAGACUCGAAAUGGCAAGAAGAAGCUCACGGCGAGAUGAAGGACUGACGGCGAGGGCGAGGUGUGAGAGAUUGAGAGUGAGAUGGGUCGCCCCGUCGUGGGUCGCCUGAGAUUCAAGACCGAGAGAGACAGAGAGUUUGAGAGAGACAGAGAGUGAUUGAAGUUGAAGACCGAGAGAGAGAGAGAGAGGAGGCUAACCUUUUGCUAUCGAGACUCGAAACGGCGAGAUGAGAGACUGAUGGAGAGGGCGAGGUGUGAGAGAUUGAGAGUGAGAAGGGUCGCGCUGUCGCGGGUUGCCUGAGAGAUUGAGAGAGACAGAGCGAUUGAAGACCGAGCGAGAGAGACAGGAAGCUCAGGCGGCGCGAGAGGGUUACUGGGUUAGGGUUCAUGGAGGGAGUCUGGAGGCAGGGAACAAGAGAGAGAAUAGGGGAAUGAAAAAUAAAAAAGUUAGGGUUAAAGGAUUUUGUUGAUUUCUCAACAAAAUUAAAAAACAAUCUCAUAAAUCCUAAAGGCAUGAGGGUUCGAACCCAUUGCCACCAGUGUGAAAAAUUUCGCUUAAACCAACUUGGCAACAAGUUCUGUUUUGUUAUGAUUGUAUGCCUAAAUUAUUUAUAAUAUUGAAAAAAAAUUAAAUAUAUAUAUAUCGGUUCGGUUCGGUUCGGUUCAGUUUUCGAACCUCAAAAACCGAAACCGAACCGGUCAGAUUCGGUUCGGUUCGGUUUGACAGUUUCAGUUCGGUUUUUUUUCGGUUCGGUUUUUUUCGGCCUCGGUUCGGUUCGGUUGUCGGUUUUUUCGGUUUUCGGUUUUUUGAACCCACCCCUAAGUGGACCCCUUCUAAAAUGAUGUUUUAAUAAUAGAAAUGCAUACAUGAAAAGCAUGGUUUAUGAGAUGCUUUGAGAUAACAUUCUUAUUGAGGCUAGUUUGAAUUAUUACUAUUUUUCCUAUAACCUACGUUCUUAUAGAAUAUCUUAUGGAUGACAAUAUGAUAUUUAGAACAUGUUUCGAACACCUCUUUAUAGUAUAGAUGAUGGAUGACUUUAUACUAUGAAGUUGCUUUUCAAUAUAUAUGUGUUAAAUGGUUUUGUACUUACCUAGUGAUCCUUUCCGCUACGGGAUGUAGGGAUAGAUUCCGGUCCGUCCCGGGCGACGGUUUGGUGUUGGUAUAGGGCCUGGAGUGUGUUUCCUCUGGCUAUUAGCACAGGGACGGGGAGCCGGCAUGGGGCAUGAAGUGUAUUUUCCUCUUACUGUCUGCUCAAAGACGAGGAGCCGGCAUGGGGCCUGCAGGUUAUCGGACAAUUCACUAGUGAUUGUUAUAUAUACAAAUUAUGAUUUGAGAUAUUGCACGACAUGCUAGGUUUCGGAAAACCUAUGUUUAUCAUGAUAUGUGUUUUCAUAAAACAUGGGGGUUAGUACGUUGAUAACUGUUUUAUUAUAUAUAUAUAUAUAUAUAUAUAUAUAUCAACUUGGUCCACUCAUGUUUGUUUUGCGCCCCCUUCAGGACUUAGAAUCGAGGCAUAAAAUCCCGGCAUCCAGGCAUUUCCGCAUCAACAUCUUCGAGUCCUCUCGAUGUAGGACCCACUUCUUUGUUCAUUCAAUUUUAUAUUAUUUCUUUUAUUGUUCUAGUUAGUUGUAUGCUCUGAACACGUUCCUUAAAUGCAUAUUCUUGAACUUUUUAUAUUUAUAAGUCUUAUCCAUCAUUUAUUCUCAGCAUUUGCACUCAAUAAAUGGCUUUCGUCACCCUCGGAUGUCGGCCAUCAUGUGCCUAUCCUGGUAUUCAGGGAAUAUCGGGAUCGGGGCGUGUCAUCUCUACAUCUUAAUUUUUGCUCUAUGGUUGCUUCAAGUUUGUAAUUUUACAUGCUACACUGCCACUUGAUUUGAUUAUAAAAAUGUAAAACAAAAUCUGUCCAUGAUUUACAAAUUUGUAUUCGAUUUUUGAUGUUUUUCAGUGUAAGGCAUAUGUUGCACAAGUGAGGUAUGUAGGCUGCAGAGCAUAUAUUUUGCCAUCUUAACUACAAGGGCAAAAUAUGUGUAAACUGUAGCUUGCUUCUAUUUCUUCAGUCUUGUAUGGAAACAAACCUUCUGCUUAUUUUUGCCUUUGAACAGUUGUGGUUACAAAAUUAGCUACUUGAACAAGUCCUCAACACUUUCUAUUUUUAAUUACCUGUUGAAAUGGCUGUCUACACUACAUGACACAUAUUAUAUGUGUGAACUAAAUGUUUCUUCUGUUUCUUAAGGAAACAGAACUUUUUUUGAAACCAUCUCUUUCUAAUCAAAGACGUUCAAUUUCUUCCCACUCAUUAUACAAUGUGUUUAAAUGCCAACUCACUUGAAUGUAUUUAAAAGCAAAACUGUUUAUCUUAUCGACCUCAUCCACUCAUAUAUCCCUUUGUUUGUUCAUAAUUGUGUUGAAUUUAUUCAUCUUUGAAUUUAUUCAACUUAAAUGUAUUUUAUUUAUCCGAUUACACCUAAAACAGCUGGUUUCCGGGGCAACGCACGGGCCUAAUAUCUAGUAAAGAACUAAAUUAGACAUUUCAUCUGUAUGCCUAAUAUAUUGAAGCAUGUCCAUAUAACAUUAAAUACGAAUGCCUAAAUAUAUAUACUUUGUCAAGAUCUUUCCCAAGAUUAGCCUCUACGGACGAAUUAUUUUCAUACACCGUCCAAAUUUCUUUGAUCUCUCCAGCUGCAGAUAAGAACUUUUCCAAUUAAUACAAUUCUGAAAAUGAAUAUUUUCAGAUAUAAAAAGAGUUGCAGGAAGAUAAAAAUUAGGGAACUUUAACGAAAAGCUCAUGGUAUUGUUCACUUUAACGAAAAAUCACAUUUUUACACUAAAAAUUCAAUCCUGGUACUAUUCACUUUACCCUUUAUUUUGUCCUUAUCGUUAAAACUUAAAGUUUUCAAACAUUUUUCAUUAGUUUUCCUUAAAAAUUAAUGAUCAACCCUAAUCCCUCCACCAAGAACCAAGCACAUUUCAUCCAAAGCUGCUUGCUCCAUUCUGCUCUUCACUGCUUCCGGUACGCCAUCAGAUGGUGUUAUAUCUCCAACAAUAGCUGAGAAUAGUUCAAUAGCAAUCUACUAUCAAAACACAUUUAUAUAUAUAGGUAUCACACUAAAUCCAUUGUAAAUAUAAUACAGAUGAAUAACGUGAAAGAACAAGGGAACAAAAGAUACCUUCUGCAGUGUCGUGCACAAUUUGUAUCUUGAUACACCUGUUCUGUUGAGGUAAGGGAAGGCAAAACACGAGAAAAUAAGGUACUGCACAGAAAAAGGUCCAAGUGGCAUAUCAAUUACAUGUAUAAUCAAGCAAGUCCGAUUAGAAAAUGAUAAAGAGCAUAGGCCAUCAUAUAGCAUCCGAACUCCAACCUUUCUCUAUUCGAGCCAGGAACGUCACCAGCAAUCAAGGACAUCAAAGCCAUGCGAUACAUAUGAUCUGCGAUGGACUCUGAACCCUUUAUUCCCUGAUUGAUUGAUCCAACCCUUCCUUUUUGUGGUCUACGAGAGAGAGGGAUAUGAUACCCUGAAUCUUCUUGCAAUUCAUAUAAUGAAGACAUUGUAAGAAUAUGAGUAUGAGAUAGAGAAGUUUUGGGACCCGUUAUAUGUAUUCAGUUUGAUAGAAAAGUCUUGUUAAUAAGAGGAAUACUUAUCCUUGACAAAGAAGGAUUUUGUAUAGCAUUGAGAUCAGUUCUUAUGGAACAAGGAAACAAGUAUUUGUUUCCUAUAGGGAUUUUAAUUGGGAAUCCUAUCUGUUAUGGAAAAGACUAUAUGUAUAUAUAUAGUGGCCUCUCUUCUUACAGAACACACGCUCAUAUUGGGAUUUAAACCUAUUUGUAAGUCGAGUUCUUGAUCAUAUGCGAGAGAAGAGAAGGUUCACUGAAAAGCUUGGCGUCAUGGCUUCAAGAUCUGGAACUGCUGCAGGUAUGCUUUUCUUUUUCGUCCUCUCAUACACGAAUUGUGGUUAAUUCUUUUCAGGUUGUAGUUCAUGUUUUAAUCUUGUUUAGUAAUUCACUGCUAACAGACAUAUUAUAUACACCCCCACUAUUACUACUUCCACGAAUCAUUUUUCUCUUCAUUAGAAAAUCCUAUCAAGUUUUAAAACUAAAGUUACUAAAUUCUUCCCGGCAAGUCAAUUUUCCACUUUGUCCCACUUAGUGUAUGGAUUGCAUUCCAAAACAUCUCAAUCAAGAUUUUCACAAUAUGAAACAUGGAGUUCAAUUCAAGCACCCAUCUGUGUUUGGUAGUUGAGAAAAUUCAGAAGUACCUAAAUUUUCAACUUUCCUAGCUAGCUCCCACCCAAUCUCUCAGAGACUACAACACAAAUUUUCAAUCUUUAUAGACUGCAGAUCACAUACACAAACAAUUCUCCAACUUUCCAUUCAUUUUAUUGAUUAAUUUCUCGGUAACCAAACAUAUGGAAAACAAGCAGAAUCAGCGCAUAUCUUGAGACGGUGACACAAUGUGAGAAAAUCAAUGGCGGAGGAUGCCGGAUGAAGAGCCCGGAGACCCGAAUGAAGCAUCGGAUUCGUUCGAACUGACAGACCGCUUGGAGGCGAGCCGUCCGGACUGGGUGCCUGCCAACGAACGGAAACGCCGGGACUUCGGCGGAAAAUCCGGGUCUGGACUGUUGUGCCUUGGCUGGUUCGUUAGUGCAGAAACGAGAUUUAGAUUACAACCUCAUCAAAUCACACUCAGUUGAAUAUAAUAAAAUACAAGAAAUAAAGACACCGAGAAAUUUACAAGGUUCGGCAAAAAUCCUGCCUACGUCCCUGGAGAGAUAUUGCUCUUCACUAUGAAUAACAGUACAAGUACACAUGAGUUAAAUCAACAUAACUCAAUCCCGAAUCCCUUGCACACCCACUCAUAGAAUUUUCCCAAGAGCCUCACUCUAUCCCAAGAGUUUUUUCACUAUAAUACUUUUCACUCUAGCUCUCUUGAUUUUCUCUCAACCCAUGUUCAACCUUUCCCAUGGGAGAGCAGGAUGCUCUCCCCUUGGAUGCUUCUAUGAUGCUUACCUUCCCACUUUCUAAGCAUUACUAAAUGCACAAAUAUUGCAUCUAGUUAUAAGCAUACACUAGCAACUAUGCCAACAACCAAGACCAAAAAGUCUUAAGUUCAUAUGACAUAAUUAUUACCUAGCCUACCUAGCAUGCACCAAAGUCUAUACCUAAUCUAUAAAGUACAACUUUUCUCCAUUUGUCAUUUAAUGCAUAGAAGAGAAAACAUGCACAAUAAGACAUGCACAAUUAUGUGCAAGCAAACACAAGGUCAAGUCUUGCUUGCUUCCAACUUUGCUUGUGGCAGUUACCAUGUCUUCAAUUAUUGUCAACAUAAUUACUCACAAAUGUAUGGGUCAAACACAACAUGGACAAGGUCCGUUGAAGAAAGCGGGAGGCGAACGAGGAGGAACAGAGUGGGUCAGUGGAGCCGCGCAGCAGGUUUGGGGAAUUAACUUACGAAACACGUCUAGGGGGCGUUUGUUACAGCUCCUUAGGAGGGACUGGCUUGAACUAGCUUAAAUAGGAUUAUAAUCCUGUGUUUGGUGGCUGGCGGGACUAACAUUAAUGGCACUAGGUGGGACUCGCUUUCACAAACUCCUUCACUAGCCGGUCUUAGCGAGAGACCUCGACACCCAUAGGACUAGCUAAGACCUUCCAUCGUCCUCUCUUGCCUUCGUCCACUCUCGCUGCAUCUUUAUCUCCUUCGUCUGCUUCGCUGCCCUGGGUUCAUCGACCUCGAUUUUCUACGGCAUGGGAUUCAAUGAAAGCUGGAAGUUGGAGAGGCGUAGGGACAAGUAAGUUUACAGAGAUUGGAGAAAAGGGAAAUAGGAGGGAGAGGCGGAGGGACAUGGGGAAAAAGGGAAAGGAGGAUGGAGAGGCGGGUGGAGAAAUAAGGUUACAGAGAGAUUGGAGAAGGGGAAAAAGGGAAAGGGGAUGGAGAAAAGGGAAAUAGGAGGGAGAGGCGGACAGACAAAAAUGGGGUAAAAGGGAAAGGGGGAUGGAGAGGUGUAGUAAAAGGGAAAGGGGGAUGGAGAGGUGUAGGGACAAGUUAACAGAGAUCGGAGAAGGGGAAAAAGGGAAAGGAAGAUUGGAGAGGAUGAUGAUUAUAGAAGAAGGAAAAAACAAGAUAAAGUAAUAAUAAAAUAUUAAUCAAUAUAUAUUAAAUUAAUAUAAAAUAAUAUAAUAUUGUAAUCCUGCUUCUUAGUCCGACACUGCACCAAACGCUUCACUAAACUAGUCUAGCUUAGUCUAGUCUAAGCCAGUCCAGCUUAGUCCCUGAAGCUAAUGCAGUCCGAGACAGUCCGGUGCAACAAACGCACCCCUAGGAUCUUAACAAGACUACGGUCUUGUAUAAAUAAUUAUUAAGUAUCAUUUUUACUAUCUAUGUAAAUUGAAUUUGAGAUUUUGCGAAUACUAUUAAACCAAAGGUUAAAUAGUUGAAAGACAGUUUUAUUCAAAACUUAGAGCAAAAGUAAUUUUUUUGUCGGACAAUCUAAUACUAAUUCAUCUUCUACUGUAUCUCACCACUUAAACAUUUUCUUUGGAAAAUUGCAUUUUUCCAAAUUUGAGGGGGAAAAUGUCAACAAUGCUAUCGUUCAAAUUAUAAACGUUUAAUUAUAUGAGAUCGAGAAAUUAAGAGAGAAAAAAUAAGUAAAUAUGUUUGGGUUGAUUAGGGAUCAAGUUUUAAUUAACACUGCAAUAUAAGAGUCGCUACAAAUGCCCCGAUUAGUGUCUCAACUAUGCACAUUCCUAGAAUUAUUUUUCCUUCGUUUAGCUAAAGAAUAAAAAUAAAAUUACAAAACAAUAUUACAAUCUAACUAUAUAAACAUAUAUAACAAUUAAAGAGUUGGGAAAUUGAAUGAAUAAUAAGUACGAGGAAUUAUCAAAGCAUGUUCCAUCCUAUAUUUUCUCUCAAAGUGAGAUUCUUUAUGAUUAUCCUAUAUUUUAAUGUUAAUUCUUAUGUUAAUAUUAUAAAUAUUAUACUAAAAAUAUGAAAUGACAAAUAAUUUAUAAAAGAUCAUUUUCAAAAGAAUCUCUUUAACAAUUCUCUUCUGUUUGUACUAUGUGGCUCUGUGGCACCGGACCAAUUUAACAAACGAUCGUGGAAAAGAAGAAAUUGUCCUUGUGUGUUGAAUUCACGGACUUCUUUUUCUUACAUUUUUGAUGGGGAAUUCGUGGACCUUAAGGUUUUGAGAGCGGCGCAAAAGCGUUUCCCACGGGUAUCACAACUCCCAUGCCACUCAUGCAUGCAAUGAUUUCACUGCCUCAACAACUCUUUUUAUAAGACGUAGGUUGUCUGCCAUUUCCAUCCCGUAUGUUUUUUUAUCUUUUUUUUAUUUCUUUGGUUACAGUUAAAUCACGUUAAUAUUUUAUAUUUUUAUUAUUUUUUAUCUUAUUAUUUUUAUAAAAAAAUUAAUAUAAAAUGUUAAUAUGACAGUUAAAUCACGUUAAUAUUUUAUAUUUUUAUUAUUUUUUAUCUUAUUAUUUUUAUAAAAAAAUUAAUAUAAAAUGUUAAUAUGAUUUAACCGUGAACACAAAAAUAUGAAUAGAUAAGAAGGGUAUGGAAUGGGGGAAUACAGAUAAUCCAAGUCCCUUUUUAUAGAACUUUCUCGACAAACUUGACCGAGUCAAAGCAGCCGAAAAUAAUUGCACAAGUCAUUAGUCUUUCUACGAAAUGGUGCUAUCUACGUAAUGAGAGAUUUUUAGUGUGAUCGUCACACUAGUUGGUUUAUUACGUGUUGUUAUAUAAUUGAUGAGAUAUGUGUGUUAAAAAUUUAAUAACUUAAAAAGUAAAAUUUUUCAUCACUUACGUAAAAACACGUAGUGUAUCAUUCGUGUUCCUAUUAAAUUAAAAAUUUCUCCUACGUAACGGCGUCUGUUGACAGAUCUGAGGCUUGUAGGGUAAUUGACAAAACGUUUGCUUCUUCACGGAACCAACCACUGAAUUAGGAUAUCGUUCUUGGGAUUUAUAAUAUUUUUAUACAACUGUAUUCUAUUUUAAAUGAAGAGUGAUUGGAAUUGAGAUUUUUUCGGAAUCUUUGUGUCCGCUCGAAAAUUCAAAUAGUUCAAGAGAGAGAUCUGAGGCAUUCAAGGACUUGAUUUUGUGAAUGGUGGGCCAUGUGUUAAUAAAUGUUGCAUGCUAUAAAUGAAGUGGCUUGAUUUUUUGGGUCUGUUGGCUCUGUACUCAGAGACCCAGAGAGGAUCGCGGCCUAUGUCACACAAUAGGAAAGUCAUAACUAUCAUCAUCAAUAAGUCAAACUCAAAACUUCUCACUUACAAAUGAAAAUGAUACAUAACACUAGUUAGUAACUUAAGACUUAUUAUUUACAAAUGAAAAUAAUUACACUAGUUGGUGAAAUUUAUAAUUAACCCUGAAAGACUUGAUUAACAAUAAGAGCUCAUUAUGGGUGGCUAAUUUAAAUUUAAUAAUUUACGAUUAGAAUCAAUAAUUAUUGCAUUGCUUAUAUGAUUUCAUUAAUCAAAUCGUCUUCAGCCAAGGCUGUAUCCAACACAAGAUUCACUCUCGUGACUCCAGCUAAUUAUGGGAUUAUUGCACUGUUUAUACAUAAUUAUGCAUAGCCAGCCCUCUAACACUUAUAUUAAUACGUCUGCUUAAUUAAUAUGAUUUCUCAAGCCUUUGAUCAAACUGGUUUAAACCCGACCAGCCCGGCUCUCUUCCAAUCCUUCCUCGGAAUAGUACGUCCGGCUGCGUUUAAUUGGUAUGUUAUUUUCAUUUUCAUUUAGUGUGUGUACCUUACGCUAAAAAAUCAUCUAAACAUUCAAGAACGCGUUUAAACCCAAAAAUAAAAUAAAACCUCAUAUAUGUCUCUUUUCCUUGAUCAGAUUGGAAGUUCAAGCAUGGUGAUGAGGAGCCUAAUCAAGUUGUUAGGGACUCUGAAAUCAAACUGAGGUUUUUAAACAAAAUAAAUGCGUAUUCAGAAAUUGAGAAAACUGAGAGCAUGAGGAUGGACAUGAUGCACAGGAAAGCUCAGGCAUCAAUUGUACCGACUCUGAAGAAUGCCGAUUACCGGAGGAAAAAGAGCCACGCACAUAGCCGCUGAUCCGUGAUCGAUUGAAACCAGAAUUUCCCUUUUUAUUUAUUUGAUUUGGAGAGGAGCAAGAUAUACGUUCUGCAGCUAUUUGUUUCAGCGGUUUCUACUGUUUCAAGUCAUCAGUGUUUUAAGUCAUAUGAAAAUAGCUCUGCAGCUAUUUGUUUAAGCAGUUUUAACUGUUUCAAGUCAUCACAGCGCCACUUUGAGGUGUUACAACUUCUUAAUUCAGUUUAUAUUUUGUGACUUUUCUUCUAAAACAAGCGAUAUUGGAAAAAGACUAUUUGUAAUUUAGAAUAUCGGAUGUAAGGAUGAAUGUUUUUAAUUAACUAAACUAUUAAUCUCCUGCUGAAUUUUGAGACGUUUAAUAAAAAGAAGAAAUAUAAUUACUUGGAAAAAGAAAUUAAGUCAAGUCAAUAAGAUUGUGACCGUAUGAAGGAACAAUUAUAUGGAUCCAAAAAUACCAAACCCAAAUUUGGACUGGGACACGCAUGCAUUUGCAUGCACGAAAACUUCUCCAAUUGGUCCUCCUGGUCGGUUUAUAGUAAAAUGGAUCAUCUUCGGAUCUCUUUCUUAUAAUUCAUCAAAUUAGGGAAUUAAUGUCAUUGAAAUUUGAUCUAACGGUUACAAACAGAGCUCUGCUUUAAAAAUUAUAAUAAUUUCAACCGUUGGAUCAAUUUUCAAUGACAUGGAUUCCUAAUAUGGUGGAUUAAGAUGAAAAAAUCAAGAGAUGAUCACUUUCCAGUUUAUAGCUUCUUUCGUACCAAAAUGUUUUGCUUUUGAAUUUCUUUCUACAAUUAUUACAUUUCAAAACUCCUUAAUGUUGUCGUUGAUAUUGUGAAUCACGGGUCCUACGUGCAUUACAGUGAUACAAUAGGCUAAAUCACAAACUCGUACAUAAUACAUUGUCGUUUUAACGUGUUGUCACAUCAUGAUUGCCAUAAUUGAGCACAUAUCCAUUGAUUCUUGUUUAUAUUCUUUAAUUUAGUGGGUAAAAAAAAAAAAUUAACGAAAUUUUUUUGAUACUAUUCAUUUUAAUGAAAAAUCAUAUUUUUAUAUUAAAAAAAAAAGAGUACGUUGAAAAAUAUAUUAGUUAAUACGGUAUUUUUGACAUAUAUGUACUAGAUUUUGUAGUGAGAUAAGGAUUAUAAUUCUUUUCCUUUUUUAUAAGGGGUGUGCUAUCCACACACCCCAUUUUACUUCUCACACAUCCUUUGAUAGUUUCUGUCCGUUGAUCUUCUUCAAUUCAUCUGAUUCGAAGGCCAAAAAUUAAAAAGGUGUGUGAGAAGUAAAAUGGGGUGUGUGAAUAUCACACCACUUUUAUAAUGAGAUUAGGGUUGCUUUCCCAAUUUUCUAAAGUUUAGGAUUAACUAGCGAAAGUGUUCCCGCACGAUGCUGCGGGUUUUAGAACCAUAUAAAACAUGUAAAAAGUUAUAAAUAUAUAUACAUCUAACUCCCAACCAAAAUAUGCACGCAAUAUUAAGAGGGAUGUGAUAUCCACACACAUUUUUUUACUUCUCUCACACCCUUUUAAUUUUCGACCGUCGGAUCGAAUGAAUUGAAGAAGAUUAAAUGACAAAAUUAAUAAGGGGUGUGAGAGAAGUAAAAAGGGGUGUGUGGAUGGCACACCCCUAUUAAGAAAGUUUGAAAUUAAUAUUAUUUGUAUUCUUGUCAAUCUUCUCAUAGUAAACAUUCAUUCUGAACACAUAAAUUAUUAGGAAGCACAACCCAAGAAUGGUCUGGGGAUUUAAGUUUAUUUGUAUUCUUGUCAAUCUUCACAUAGUAAACCUUUAGGACAAAAUAAGCUCUAAUUAUAUAAGUUAGAGUUUCUAUGUGAGUUAGGAAUAUGCUGGUGUGUAGAAGAUGAAGGCAAACCAUAAUCCAAUUAACAUCAAAACAAAGGAAAUUAAUAUUUAAAAAGUGGAACCAACAGAUGAGUAAAAACUUUUGAAUUUGCAAUGUUAUGGCAGGUGAGUGAAAACUUGUCAGCAACUCUACAUGGUUGGAGGGUAGUGAAAACUUGAUCUAAAAUGCUGCUAAGGAUGAGGACUCUUCCAAACUGAAAAAUACGGUGAAUGGUUCGGAGGAAGAGAGAGAUGGACUUUUAGAGAGAGGGAGUGGGCAUUUGAGAAAGACAAGAAGAGAAACCAGAGUGCAUCGAGAAGGAAGAGAGAAAAGGAAGAAAAAUAAAUAAAAAUAUUCAGUAAGGACACAAUCGGGAUUAUCGUAAAAGUAUGAGGGUAAAAUUGGAACAACACUGUGCUUAUGAAUAGCAUUUCAGUUAUUUUUGGGUUUUAGUAGAUAUUAAAUUUCCUAUUUGUUUAGAUUUAUUUUCUUGUUUGCUUGUACUUUAAAUUUUUGAACAGUUUACAAAAAAUGAAAAAUAAUGUGCAGAAAUCAUUUUGGUUCUAAGUACUGAUAAGUGACAUUGGCCUAAAUUUGAUUGCAUGGCUCUGCUUCUUUCUUAUUUUCCCAUGUCCAAUCCUAUAAAUACCUUCAUACUUGGCCCUCAUAAUCCCACCCAACAACUCCAAUCUGGAAAUUUAAAUCUCUCAACUCUCUCAAUUCUCCUAUUACAAAUAUGCAAACCAUGUGGAAGUAUAUACAUCUAACUUUCACCAUCUUCAGCUGGCUGUUCAACUUCUUGCUCUACCAUUCCUUCUCCAAACAUUAUGAUCACUAUUUUGAUGAAACCAGAGACAUAUCACUUACCACAGUCCAGUAUAAACCCAAUCCCGGGGCGAAUUCGGAGACUAGUACGGCGGAAUGUGCUGUGUGUCUAUGCAAAAUCGAGGAAGGAGAAGAGAUUAGAGAACUGAGAUGUGCUCAUCUCCUUCAUAAACCAUGCUUGGACUGGUGGACUGGAUUUAAGCAUGCCACUUGUCCGAUUUGCCGCAGUCGCCUAGCUCCACCGAGAAGCACACAACUCCAUCAGCAGUUAGAUGAACAAGUGGAAGUGUUGGUGUUUAAGUUUUGCUCUUUCAGCUCGGAUAGUGAUCGUGGCGAUAGAUGGUGGCUGCGUUGAACUUGAACCGAAGAGAGAGAUUUAAAUGAGUAAUUAUAUAUGCACGAGUGAUCCCUUGUUAGCAAAGAUCUGUUCAUCUAAAGUCAAACGUUUAAUUUUGUCUUCCAGUUCUACUGUCAAAUUAAUGUAGUACUUCAUCUAUUUUGGCGAAAAAACAUGUAUGCGUGUGGUGUACCAUGUAUUUGUAAACGAGGAUGAACGGUAGAAAGGUCUCUGUACUUUAUGUUAUGUUUAGUUUCCGAUCAUAAACUAUAAGUUUUUUGCGCUUUUCAACUUAAUUUUGCAUUGCAUGAGCAACAAUGAUGGAUCUUGGAUUCAAACUUUGGGGUUCCAUUGUUAAACUACAAGUUUUUCAGGUAGAAACAAAGUGCACAUGGAAAAAUCUUAAUUUAUAUUCACUCAAACAUUUCGUCACUUGGUGAACUUGUUAUCAUCAAUCAAACUAUGUUGUACACGUAUAAACAUAUUUUGAUAUAGGCCAAAUUGGAUUAUUCAUCCCCGUGGUCAUAGGAAACUUGCAUGAUGACCCCCGUGGUGAAAAAAUUAGGAAUUAAACCCCUGUGGUCAAGAAUGUUUGCAAAUUUAGUCCAAAAGUAAGAUUUCUGUUAAAUGACUAUUAAAAGUAUGGGUAAAACUGUAUUUUCAGCUCCAAUUGACAUUUAAAAUAAAUAAUUUUUUUAUAACAAUUAACAAAAAAAAUAAUGCUUAAUUUUUUAAAUAAAAAAAAGCCCCAAUUCAAUGUCAAUUGGAACUGAAAAUACAGUUUUACCCCAACUUUUAACAGUCUUUUAACAGAAAUCUUAUUUUUGGACUAAAUUUGCUAACAUUCUAGACCACAGGGGUUUAAUUCCUAGUUUUUUCACCACAGGGGUCAUCAUGCAAGUGUCCUAUGACCACGGGGAUGAACAAUCCAAUUUGGCCUUUGAUAUAUGCUAUAAACAUUCCAUCAUAUGAACAGGAUUUGACAUCUAUUUUGCUCCAUCCUCUUUUUUCAUAAGGACCCCGUUUCUCUGCCCUCGCAAUUCACAUACACUUUCAUCUCCUCCUAUUUUGUGCGGUCACGGUUAAGCCACCUCAACAUUUUAUAUUGAUUUUUUUAUAGAGAUAAUAAAACAAAAAACAAUAGUGAUAUAAAAUAUUAACGUGGUUUGACCGUGACCUCACAAAUAAAAGAGAAUGAGAGUGUAUGAGAACUGACAGGGCAGAAAAGCCAGGUCUUUUUCAUAAAACUAUGCUUUGAAAAUGUGGACAGGAUUACGCAUGCCACAGGUCCCAUUUGUCAUCUAACUCCACCAAGAAGCACUGAUCAAGUGGAAGUGCUGCUAUUUAAGUUCUGACCAUUCGGGUCGGAUAGUAAUCAAAACAACAUACUCAAAACACUAUACCAUAAAAGUGGACAUAUCAAUCAUGUCAUUGAUAUACCACAUAAAUUGUGUUUUCUAUUCAUACAAAUUCCUAUUUUUAAGAUUAUCUUUUUUUUUUUUAAGAAAAAUUAAUGAAAAUGAUUUAAAUUUUUUGAGUUUUAAUUAAUGAUAAGGACAAAAUAAAAUGUAAAGUGAAUAGUACCAUGAUUGAUUUUUUAGUGUAAAAAUAUGGUUUUUCGUUAAAAUGAAUAAUACCGAAAGCUUUUCGUUAAAGUUCCAUUUUUUUUCUUAAGGAGAAAAAGAUAUUUCCAGAGAGAGAGAGAGAGAGAGAGAGAGAGAGAGAGAGAGAGGUUUGUAGAAGAAAGAAAGAAAAAAAAAUAAUAAUAAAAUAAUAUUGUUUACUAUUAUUAUUUUAAAAAAAAUCAAUUGAUGGCGCAAUAUAUUUUAUGAGGUAGUGAUGCAUUCGAGCAAUUAUUAUUCACUAAGGCAGUAUUUGCCUUGUCUAAUUGUCUAGUCAGUUAUUGCCUUAGUGGGGUGAACUUGCUCCAAGUCAAUAAGAUUGUCAGAAGUUGGGGUUCCACAUAAAACUAAUUUGCCAAAUGGGAGUCAUCCAUUAUUUAUAAACACAUGCAAGGUUCAUUCUUUUUCUGAUAUAGGAUUGACACUCUCAACAAGCCCUUUCACGCAUUGUUCUAAAAAUCUCCGCUUAUGUGCUAGGCGGCUAGCCAUGACAUUGAUAAAUCCCUUGGUGUUUAAAAAUUAAGAAAGGGUGUCUGCACUUGUUUAGGCGUCCACCCAACCCACCUAGGCGUUCGCCUACGCAUGCAUCGAGGUUGCAGACUCUCACUUAAAAUAGAAAAUAGGUAACUUUCAUUUUGUAUUUUAUUUUUUUAAUAAAUUGUAAGAAACUUGUUAAAUACUCGGAUAAACACUCAUUAUAUGCAUGUCCUCCAUUUUCCCUAUAUGUGUUAUAAUACUUCAUAAUUUUUAUGUCAUUCUAUUUUUCAAUUUAUAUAUUCUAAUACAAUUAGGUAUUUUUCUUAAAACAUAAACAAGCAUUACUUAUACGAUACAUAUAAUAAAUUUAACUUAAAUUCGCCUCGUCCUUUUAGGCCCCGUCUAGCCGCUUAGGCUUUAGACUUUAGUCCGUCGUCCGACUAACGCUUAUGAUCUUUUAGAACUUUGCCCUCAUAUGUGGUGAAUUUUCAAAUUUAACAUGUAGACAAUACAACGAAAUAACGUGAAGCGCGUGUGAUCGUUUAACUUCACAUGUAAAACAAUCUAGUCUGAUACCACGAAGAAGUUUGAAUUCCAACCGACUAUAUAAGAAAUAGUCAAUUAAUUAUAGCCACAUACAAAUCCCUCUUUUCGAACCAUAAGAUUGGAUGAAGAAUUUAAAGGACUGGGACAUGCAAGACUUGUCCUAUUGGGUCAACCCGGCGGUUUAUACCAAAAUAUCUUGGUUUUGAAUUUCUCUUUAAGAUUAAAUUAUAAACAACACUUGGCUAAAGGAUGAGUAAAAUCUCUUAAUUAAAACUCUUAGGGCUUUAAUUAUAAAGUUUUAUGUUUAUGAUCAAAACCGUUCAUACUAUGAAUCACACUGUAAAAAUCAUCUAUGCAAAAAAUAUAUUAAAAUUAAGGUCGUUUAGUCAAUCUAUUAUAGCAAAUACAUAAACGGUUCGUAAUACUUUUACCAAUACCGUUCAUUUGUUUUUAAACAGUUUGAUGACUAAACGACCUUAGUUUUAAAUAACUUUUUUGCAUAGGCGAUAUUUAUUGGAUAAUUUAUAUUAUGAACGAUUCUAAUGAAAAACAUAAAGUUAUAUAAAUUAACAACAAACAAUUUUAAGAAAUUUUAGGUAUGAAUUCUUACUUAUCUUUAACUUUAAGUAGGCAAAUAUUGUUUUUAAAUUAUUACAUUCCAAAACUCCUUAAUUUAGUCGUUUAUUUUGUGAAUCACGCGUCCUAUAUAUCUGCAUUACAGUGACCCAAUAGACUGAACCACCGGACACGUAUGUUGUCGAUUUAGUGUGUUGUCACAUCAUAGAUUGCCAUAAUUGAGUAUCCUGUGUUAGUUGACCACAUAAAUAUUAUGAUACUGUUCAGUAUAUUCAAGGAGGGAAAUAUUUUUGGCCUAAGAUUAUCUCUCAUCUUCUUUCCAUUAUUUCUUCUUAUAUUUUUUAUUUUGUCUUUUUUUUUUAUAAAAAAUUAAUAUAAGAUGGGGAUGUGGUUUAAUCAUGACCGUUCAAAUAGGAAGAUCGGGAAAUGAUAGAAAUGAAGAAACUAGAGAAUCAUACUCCAAUAUUUUUUGCACACUUAUUUUUUUUUUAAAUUACUGAAUAUAUGACCAUUGAUUCUGAUUUAUAGUCUUCAAUCUAAUGGGUAAAAAAUGAGUUUAUGUUGAAAAAUAUAUUAGUUAAUAUGGUAUUUUUGACAUAUAUACGUGCUAAAAUUUUGUUAUAAUUAAUUUCCUAUUUGUCUUGAAGAACCCAGAUCCUUUCCGGAUCCUCAAAAACUGAGACUAAGGAUCAACUGAUUUGGACUAUUGAAAUUUGAUCUAACGGCUACAAAUAGGGAGCCUUUGUAAAAGUUAUAAUAAUUGUAGUCGUUAGAUCAAAUUUCAACUGUCCGAAUUAUUUGAUCUUUAGACUCAGGUUUUGGACAUCCAAGGAGGAUCUGGGUUCUGUUUUGAAUAUAUUUACCUUUUUGCUUGUACUUUAAAAUUUUUAGCAGUUUAGAAAAAGUGAAAAAUAGUGUGCAGAACUUAUUUUCGUUCUCACCAUUUACAAUUGACAUUAGCCGAAAUUUGAUUGCAUGGCUCUGCUUUCCUCUAUUAUUUUCCCAUGUCCAAUCCUAUAAAUAGUAAUACCUUCAUACUUGGCCCUCAUAAUCCCACCCAACAACUCCUAUUUGGAAAUUUAAAUCUCUCAACUCUAUCAAUUCGCCUUUUACAAUUAUUCGAACCAUGUACAAGUACAUACAUCUAGCUUUCACCCACCUCAGCUGGCUACUCAACUUCGUGGUCUACCAUUCCUUCUCUAAACAUUAUGAUCACUAUUUUGACGAAUUAUUGCCUGCAGACCAAGCCACAGAAAUAUCACUUACCACAGUCCAGUACAAACCCAAUCCCGGGCCGAAUUCGGAGACUAGUACUGCGGAAUGCGCUGUGUGUCUCUGCAAAAUUGAGGAAGGAGAAGAGAUUAGAGAACUGAGGUGUGCUCAUCUCUUUCAUAAACCAUGCUUGGACAAAUGGACUGGAUUUAAGCAUGCCACUUGUCCGAUUUGCCGCAGUCGUCUAGCUCCACCAAGAAGCAAACAACUCCAUCAGCAGUUUGAUGAACAAGUGGAAGUGCUGCUGUUUAAGUUUUGUUCUUUCAGCUCGGACAGUGAUCGUGGCGAUAGAUGGUGGCUGCGUUGAACUUGAACCAAAGACAGAGAAGCAGCAGAGAGUCAUGCCAGAUUUAAACGAAUUAAUAUCGUACUCGUUUGGCGGAAGAUGUAUUAUUAUCUUUAGUCAAAUAAAAAAAAUAAGGAAUAAUAGAUUUAUGUUUUCUUUUAUGCCAGACCUCCAAAACUCACCAGAACUACACAGCAGCAAACAAAUGAAACGAAAAAAAUAAUUCUGGACACCAGCCGUGUGCAUACAUCUAAUUGCCGCCCACUUAAGCUUAGGGGUGGGUUCAAAAAAUCAAACCGGAGCCGAAAAAUACUGAACCGAAAAAAAAAAUCGAACCGAAACAGCCAAACCAAAUCGAACCGAAUUUGGCCAGUUCGGUUUCGGUUUUUGAGGUUUGGAAACCGAACUGGACCGAAAAAAUAUAAUCUAUAUAUAAAUACACAAAAACGUGUUGGCAUCAGAGUUUGA